This 57142-nucleotide long non-coding RNA is filed under the name Medicago truncatula (barrel medic). Its description in RNAcentral is "long non-coding RNA (MTRU_LNC003591)". The stretch from base 31174 to 31452 matches the Rfam family "MIR2655 microRNA precursor family". The record is from RNAcentral. Lineage: Eukaryota; Viridiplantae; Streptophyta; Magnoliopsida; Fabales; Fabaceae.
ACCGGAAACUGCUGCCCUCUAUGUAUGCCUUUUUUUAAUAUCAACGCAACAUUAUUUUUAUUCAUGAAAUAUAUUACUAAGAAAGAGUGUAUGGUGCAUGAUGAUAUCAUUACGAUUAGUUUCGAGUUUCGUCCUCAGUUUCCACGGCACCAUGACCACCGUGACCACGUCUACCGUGGUUGUGACCACCUCCACCACCAUUGUAACCCUCUCCGCCAUGGUUGUAAACAUGUCCACCUUUUUCAUGAACAUCACCAUCACCGUUGUUAGAAUCAUCACCGUUGUUAGAAUCACCACCGUUGUUAGAACCACCAACAUAGCCUCCAUCUUUGCCAUAAUUUAAGUCAGUCUGUUCAACACUAUCUGAAAAAACAAUAUAUAUUAAUCAUUAUAUCAUUAGAUAAUUAAAAAGGUUUGCUAAAUUAGAUAUAAAAAAAAUAUGGUCCAAGUUAGCAAAUAUGCACAUUUUUAUUUGGACAAAAAUAUCCUUCAUUUUUAUUAUUAAAAACUAAUAGUUUGAGGGUUACUUUAAUAUUUUUAUUUAAAACAUAUUUGUUACCCGACACCAAUUGCUAACUUAGACCCACUUUUAUUUUAUUACAAAUAAAUUAAGGGUCACUUUAGUACUUUUCAUUAAAACAUAUAUUUGUUAACUUGCAUCAAUUUGCUAACUUAGACCCACCUUUAUUUUAUAACAAAUAGCUUGAAGGAUAUUUAAUAUACUAUCACUUACAUUAAUUUAGUUUACACUAGUGGAUAUUUGCUAACUUGGAUCAAAUUGCACCGAUGUGAUAUAAUAUUUGAAUAAUUUACACUGCUUAAAAACUUCUUAUUGAAUAUAGAAUUAUAGCAAAAAAAAAUUUAAUAAAGAAUUAUAGCAAAUUUUAUAAGACUCACAAUUGAAUAUAUAAUUAUAUCAUAUGGAUCAUCUCUGUAAGUUAUAUAUGAAGCAAAUUUGAAAUCGUUUUUUAUAUAACAUUGAAGUGCAUGAAGAUUAACGUUUACAUAGAAAUGAAUUAAUUAAAAUGUAUAAAAUACAUAAUUAAGUAUAAAAGAAUUAUCCUUUAAAAAAGUAGAAAUGAAUUAAAAACAUAUGUCUAAAACGCUCACCCCAAUUAGGAUCCGUGGAAGUUUCGGAUAUCACUGAGGAAAUAAGAACCAUAGCCAAGAGGCCUAGCAUAAGGAUUGCCUUUUUUGAAACCAUUGUUCAAUAUCUGUUCAAAUUUGAUAUUUGGUAGUGAACGAUGAGAAAAGUAGCAAGAAGUGUGCUCUAUAUAUAAUGGAGGGAAGGAGUGAGAUGAUGUAGGGACAUUCACUUGCUAGUUGAGAAGGUAGCUAGUGUGUAAUAAUUCAUUGCUUUUUAGUUUCAUAAUGUACAUGGUCUAUAAUAUCGACCAGAUACAUCUUUUAUGCAAUUAAUCUAAAAAAUAAAAUUUUAUGUAUAAUAAUAAUCGGAUGAUGUAUAUAUUUAUAAAUUUUUAACUAAAAUAAUUGUUUGAUGAUUUUAAUAUCAUUUGUUUUGACUACUUCCUUUCUUUCAAAAUAAGUGAUCUAGUUGAUUGUUUUAAGCAAUUUAUAUAUGUAUAAACAAAAAAAUAUAUAAAAUUUGAUUUUUAAAAAUAUUUGUUGAAACAAAUCUAAAAAUAUCUUAUAUACUGAUAUUUCUCUUUAUAUGGUAGUAGAAAAAGAUUAUCAAAUAUAUUAUGUGAAUUGUGAAUAAUAGAGAAUCACUUAUUUCAUAAUAGAGAGAGUUGUAAAGACCAAAGGCUAUGAAAAAUUGAAAAUGGUGAUGAGGUAUGGCUACUUUCUAUUGGCUGAAAGUGACAUUUUGAAAGCAUACUAUUGGUUCAUACUAGCUAUCUCAUCCCAUGGAGAUACAUGCAUUCAACUUUAUCCAGACACAUUCAUAAUAUGUUUUCUAUAAGUAAUUUUAUUUUUUUUAGCAAAAGAGUAUUACGGAGGUACACUCUAUACUUGAACAUUCACUUAUUAUAUGUUUUCUAUAAUAAUUAAUAAGUGAACUCUAACCAAUAAACUCUACUUGAACAAAAACAAAAAACAUUUUCCUUAAUCAUAUUAUCUCCAUCAAUCUCAUUUUAUUAUUCGCCACUUUGAAUAUACUAUAUACAGAUACACUAAUAUUAUAGCCAUUCUCUAAAGGCUAAUUAUUUCUAUUCUUUUGGUGUUUUUAAGUAAAUUAGCUUUCGUGCUAGUAGCAUUCCAUUUAGCAUGUAAGUAAUUAUACCGGUGUAUGAGAACAAUUUCGUUUUUGACACUAUGCAUAUCUUGCGGUAUUAUGCUUUAAAAAUUUGCUUACAAAAAAAUAUUAAUAGCUAAUAAUGAUAUUUAUUAAAACCGAUAUUCUACUUUUUUUUUCAUUUCUCAUGUAUUUUUUUUAAUUUUCGUGAAAUCAUCAAAAAAAUAUGCUUUAAUUUGUGGGACAAAAAGAGCACUAGAUGAAAAAUAGGUUUUUGCAGCGUCCAAAAGCCUCCUCAAAAAACCUCCCUGAAAUAGGUUCAAGUUCAACCAUCCCGCUUUUAAACCUCCUCAAGCGUUUGCAUUUUUUUUAUGUUUUCAUAAUUAGUGUGAAAAAUAUAAAAAUAAUAAAUUUAAUAAAAAUUAGAUAUAUUAAAACAAAAAUUGUAGUAAGAGAGAAUUAAAAAACAACUUAAAAAUAAAAAAUGGUAAAACAAAUAUUUUAUAGUAAUUUAAAAUUAAAUAUAGAUUAAAUUUAAAAAGGGUUAAAUAUGUUUUUAAUCUCUACAAUAUCACAGAAUUUCUAGUUUAGUUCCUACUCCCUCCGUCCUAAUUUAUAAACAAAAAACACAAAUUCACACUUAUUAAGAAAACAAAAACAUAGUAGUUUGAGAUAUAAUUUUUUGUGUUUUUAUUGGAAUAAGUUUCAUGGAAAAAAAAUUGUGUAGAUUAAAUUUUUUGUGCCUUUAGAUGAAAAAAAAAUAUUGGAUGAUGAUUAAAAUAAAUUAGUUAGAUGAGAUGAGAGAGAAUGAAUGAGCCAUAGGUCAGACUCCCCUAACCAAGAACAAUGCCCAAAAGAGACAAAGCCAUCAUAGACCCGUACCUAGCAUAAAGGACAUCCCACCACAUAAUCAGGCUCUCCAAAAUAAUCAUCCAACAUUACUUACAAGCAUACUUAUAAAAUUCAAAAGAGGAAAAAAUACAAAAUACUUAUAAAUAAAUUCUCAUGAAUAAAGAAAAAUGAAAAAUAUUAUAUAGUUCACCCGUUUUGGUAUUAGAGGAAGUCUCAGUUAAGACCCUCGCUGAAACCCUAGAGGAAAUAAGAACCAUAGCAAAUAGGCCUAGAAUGAGGAUUGCUUUUUUUUGAAUCCAUUGUACUCAAGAGUAUAAAUAAACUACACAAAUCGGUAUUACAAAAGGGAUAUUUGGUAGUGAACAAUAAAAGAGAAUGUGCUCUAUAUGUAGUGGAGGUUGGGAGAUCAAUACUUGGUAGUUGGGAAGGUGGAAUAGUGCUCUAUAUUAAUUCAUUCUUAUCUUCAAAUUCAGAACUGUUUGUUUGUUAGUAAUUUUGAAACCAUUCAUUUUGAGUAUUAAGAAUCGGAGGCUACUUAAUUCGUUGAAAAAAUGAAGCAGUUAUUGUCUAUGCCAAGCCUACUUAAUUCGUUGAAAAUAACAGUAUUGAAAGUAUUGAAAAUAACAGUAUUGAAAAUAACAGUAUCAACCACAUACAUCAUUAAAUAAAUAAACCUAAAAAAUGAAUUUUGUUUAUAUUUUGAUACGGAGUGAGUACUUUUAAUUUUGAAACCAUUCAUUUUGAUAUUUGAGUGGUGAAGGUACAUUCCGAAUAAACACUCUAAACUCUAAACUUUUUUAUAACUUCAACAAAUGAUCUAUCUAUCACUCAAAUUAAAUUUUUAAGGGGUUCUAAAUUGACUAGUUUAAGUGUGAAGAACAAGAAACAUAUGAAUAUGCAAACUAAAAUGCAACAACAUAUUGAACAAGACUUUAAGCUCGGACAUGAGUAAAAAAUACACAACUAAAGGGUUCAAACUCACAUAUUUACUAGGUUAUUGUGAAUUUGGACUCAAAUCUUAAAAAAAAAAAAAAAUAGAUGUGAAGAGCAUAUAUCAAUGACAACCAACAAUCAAACAUUCUCAAGUUACACAACAUAUUUAAAUAUGUGUAAAGUAAAGCCACAAUCAAAGCAUGGAAUAAAGAUAAAAGAGAAGAGAAAUCAACAUAGGAAUACUAUUGUUUACCCAAUUUGCAUUGGUCCAAGAAUGAGCCACAUUUUGGGGAGAGAAAAUAUCUUCAAUCCACUAUCAAUGAUUCAUUGGAAAGAGAUACAGAGAGUUACAUGAAAUUAACUUCAACAAGAUCUUCGAGAGCAAACUUAAUUUCUACUAUUUUUCUACGUACACUCUUCCCUUGAACAAGAGAGUUACCAAGUGACCAAAAAAUUUAGCUUCCAAUGUUUUCCAAAAACAUCCCCUAAGAGGAGAUUAGUUUAUGAAUACGUUAUUUAAUUAUUCCAAUGUUUAUGAAUACGUUAUUUAAUUAUUAACUCUUGAAAGGAAGUCUCAAGUCACAACAAUUCGGGCACACCAUUUCGAAAUACACAUAUUCAUAAAAAGAUAGAAAGAGAAAAUAAUUAAAUAACGUAUACUUUUAAAAUAAUUAAGUAUUUCUUUGUGUUCAGUAUACAUCUCAACCAACACCUAUUGAUUCUUGUAUAAAUAAAAAUGGUGUCUAAGCCUAUCGCACAACGGACCCCUCUCAAACUAAUCACCCAACCAAAAUAGUGUCUUAGCUCCAUUGUCCACCACCCUCACCAAAUUGUCCUAGUAUCCUCGCAACCCACCGUUCAUAUUAACUAUGAGUAGUGAUAUAUGUACAACUCUUUGGUACAACUUUCAUGACAACUUUGGUUUUCUCUCUUUUGAUUGGUCAAAAAUACUAGAGAGAGAAAAAGGAAGAGAGAUAAUAAGAAGAUAAUGUGAGUAUGUGAGAGAAAGUUGUCAAAAAAUUGUUAGAAAAUGGUUGUACAAAUAUCAUUUCUCAUUAACUAUUAUUCAUCAAACUACAUGUUAUUUCUAAGAAAAAAUAAAAAAAUUAGUUUUUAUAUAUAUCUUUUAUUUGGCCAAUUAGCCUAAUGAAUAAAAUUCCACCCUAUUAAAAUGAAAAAAUGGAGAAGGUAGGAAAUUCAACCCCUAUAUAUAUAAUAUAAUAUCCAUGCCAACUGAAUAUGAAAGUCUUUUGCCAAUAUAUAUAUAAAUUAAUAUUCAACUACCUAACAUGUAUGAUUUCUCGAUAAAACAAUAUAUUAACAAAAUAUUAUAGUUUAUUUCAUUUAUUCUUGAUGAUGAGAAAUCAAUAAUAACAUUUUUAUUUAUUUAUAGAGAUAAUAUAAUAUCUCUAAACUAACAUAUAACUUAUUAAUUCAUCUUAAAUUUUAACUUAAAAUACAAUUCAUCAAUCUCAUUAAUAUUAUAGCAUGAGUCAUUAUACUAGUUUUUUUUUUUUUUUUAGUAAAGGUCAUUAUUGUGUAACCAAAAAAUAAAAGAAAAUAUUCUAUAUUAAAAUUUCAGAGCUGCCGUUCCUGUCACAAUUAAUUAAUUUUUCUUUUUAUAUUUUGAUAAUUUCAGAACUCCUUAAGUUCAAAUUGACAGCGAUGAACGAUAAUGAAAGACGCCCACUUAUUUUGAAUUUUUCAUACAAAUGUGUGGCUAGACGUGGCCAUAUAAUUUGUAUUCAUGCGUACCCAUCCGAACCCCGUUUCGAAUAUGAUUUGGACAACUUGAAUUGGAGCUAGACUUGGUUAAACAUAACCAUAAAUCUUUUAUCUAGAUACACACUCAUUAAUAACAAAAAGUAAAGGAGGAAAAAAUAAAUUUUAUUAUUAUUGAAAUUAAUGAAUAAAGUGUCGUGACGGAUUCAGAAAUGUUGACUUGUGGAAACAAAACUUUAUAUAAUACUCCCUCCGGUCCUAUUUACAAGAGAAAUUUGACUUUUUAAAUACAUUGAAUAAUGUAUGUAUCUAGUCAAGAACCUAAUCCAAAUACAUAAAUUAUUUAAUGUAUCUAAAAAGUAAAUUGUUUCUUAUAAAUAGGACCAGAGGGAGUAAAUAUUUAAAGAAAAUUUUUAAUAAUGCAAAAGUGAUAUAAUAAUAACAUCAUUAUCAUUGAGAAAAAUGCUCAAUAUUUAGAAAAAUUAAAGACUCGUCAACAUCUACAAAUUAAAAUUGUUUUUACGUGUCUUUAUAUUCAAAAAAUAUGGUAGAAAUUAAAUUUCAUCUCAAAUGCAUUUACGCAUUCGAUUUUAUGAAAUUCAUGAACAAAACUUUUUUUUAUGGUAUAAAUUUUAAUUUAAUUGAGGCAAUCUAUUAUUUUAAGAGAGAGCAACCAUUAAAAUAUAAAAAAUUUAACAAAUAUAACCAGAAGAGUAGUGGGGGCAGUUUCCCCCAUACCACUCUACCUAGAAUCGUGGUUGAUGAUGUGAUUGUUAAUGUGGUGUGCCUAAAUGCAAAAUAUUUAUUUUUGUUAUCAAGUAAGUAUUGACUCGGUUCGUAUUUUUUACGAUUUCAAAAGACGGUUGUGGCCUCGCCCGUAUCAAAAUUAUAUUAUUACCUCUCUUAAAUUAUAAACUCAUAAACAAAUUCCUAAAUUACAUUCAUACAUUAACUUUUAUUUUUAAGCUCAACCUUAAACAAGUCAUUUCCUCUACUUUUUUUUUUUAGAAAACCAUAUUGUUGAAACAACAUAGUUUUGAGCUUUUUUACUUAUUCUUAAUAGAAAAAAAGAUCAAAUGCCACUUUUGAUCCUUUUAGUUUAACAGAAUUCUCAAGUUAGUCCUUUAAAUUUCGAAAGUUUCAAUUAGGUUCUUUUGGUUUGACAUAAUUCUCAAGUUAGUCCUUUAAGUUUCAAAUAGGUCCUUUUAGUUGAUAAAUUAUUUCACUGUUACCGCUGCUGUCAGUCUCUGUUUAACUAAUGUUAAUGUAGCUGUAAGUUGUUGACUUGAAUCGAAAUGCUGCCUUUUAAUAGCUCGAGGGUGCAUGUCUAAACGCUACGUUUAAUGGUCACAAAUGAUCAUUUAUAGUGCUAAUAAGACAGCUAUUUACAACAAUAAAUGUCUUUCUAGCACUAUUAAACGACAUUUAUAAUACUAGAAUGAUCAUUUGUGACGAUUAAACGUAAUGUUUUGACUCACCGGAGCUUUUAAAAGACAACGUUUUGAUUCAAGUCAACAACUUAACGGCUACAUCAGCAUCAGCUAAUUAUUAACUGACAUGAGGGGGGUAACGGUGAAAUAGUUUAUCAACUAAAAGGACCUAUUUGAAACUUUUGAAACUUAAAGGACUAACUUGAAAAUUAUGUCAAACUAAAAGGACCUAAUUGAAACUUUUGAAACGUAAAGGACUAACUUGAGAAUUAUGUCAAACUAAAAAGACCAAACGUCAUAUUUGGCCUACAAAAAGUACAAAAGUUCACGUGAGAGAAUCGAACAACCCAAAAUGUUUUGUGAACCCUAUUUCUUGAUGAAUCCACGUGAUACACAACUCAGCAAGCCAUCAGAGCAUGCCUCAACGGAGAAAAACGCCGAUAUCUGCAUGGAAACCAACCCCAAAAGGGGUUAUCUUCCAAAAACUACCAGCACAAGGUCAUAGGUGUUCUGGAAUGAGGAUAAUGCGUAGGGGCAGCGCCUCUCAUCGCACCACCGCGCUAGCCGCUACAUCUAAAAGGAACAAAUUUGAAUGAGGGGAAGGCGUUGGAGAGGUGGUCGUUCAAGAGAGAAGCGAGAGAGUACUUUUUGAGAGAGAUAAGGGAGCAUCCUCCUAUCUUCCUAAAGUUACAUGCAUUUCUUAAUUUUGUCUAACAUCCAAUUUACCCUCUAUACCGUAGAUUUUUUUAAAAUACUCCCUCCGGUCCUAUUUACAAGAUAAAGUUGAUUUUUUUGAUACAUUGAAUAAUGUAUGUAUCUAGUCAAGAACCUAAACUAAAUACAUAAAUUAUUUUAUGUAUCUAAAAAGUAAAUUGUCUCUUGUAAAUAGGUCCGAAGGGAGUAUUUACUUUUUUUUGAACAAAGUAAAAUGAGACAUAUAUUAUAAACAAUGGCGAUUUACCGUGCACAAGACAUGCAAAAGGUAAACCGACCAAUCAAAAUACAACAGUAGGGUGCUAAUUUAGAGUAACACCGUAAAAAAGUUACAAAAAAACUACACAAAAACACCCAUGCAGGGAAGUGGGUGUUUCCACCAGUCAUAAUAAGAAUAAAUAAAAGAUAUAUGCGAUGAUUUCAGCCACAUAAACGAGUUCAGCUUCACUUUUUCAGCUAAAGAAGAAGGAUCACAAACCGUUUCUUGGAACACACGGUUAUUUCUUUCCUUCCAAAUGACCCAAGCAGAAGCGAACCAUAUUACUUUCAGAUAAUAAUGAGUGGCUCUAGGAAAGCCGGCCAAAUUAGAAAAUUGUGUAAAAUGCCGCCGAAUAUCACCUGGAAACACCACAGAUAAACCUAACCAAUGCAAAAUAUGAUCCCAAAGCGUACUAAAAAUAUUACAGACACAAAACAAGUGAUUUGCGGUUUCAUAGGCACCACAACCUGACACACAAACCGAGUUAGCUAACAGAAGAACACGCCGAUGAACCAAGUUGUCUCUAGUGGGAAGUCUAUUCCGAAAAAGGCGCCACACAAAUAGUGACACCUUAGAGGGUAUGCUCUUAUGCCAAACAUCUUCAACCAGAGUCUUAUCCACCACAUUACCAUUAUCAGUGAGAAAACGAUAAGCUUCCCGUACCGUAUAACCACGGAUAGGAUCUAACAACCAAAUCCAAGAGUCAUGAACAUUAACCUGCAAAACGACAUUAGAAAGUAACAUAGAACAUUCCUUCACACUUUCCUCCUCCCACGCCAAAAGUCUCCGGCUCCACUCCCACCCCCACCUCCAACCUCCCAACCGUCCCUACUCAUGUCCUCCACCGUACACUCUUUGCGUAAAAACAAAUCAAAAAGACGGGGGAAUUUACAACAUAAAGGUGUAUCCCCCAACCAAUUAUCAUACCAAAAUAAAGUAUCCCUACCAUCUCCUACCCUCCUACGAAUGUUGUCAUCAAACCACCUCCCAACACCCUCACCUAACCCCUCCCUAAUCCUACACACUGACCGCCACCACGGAGAAUCGAGGUGUCCUCCCUCCUCCAACCGUCCCCCUAUCUCACCAUAGCGGGCUUUAAGUACUUUAUACCACAUCCCCUCCUUUUCAUUCAACAUCCUCCAACACCACUUCCGCACCAACGCCAAAUUAAAAGCUCCCAUCCUCCUCACCCCCAACCCUCCGUGCUCCUUUGGAGUACAAAUCGACUCCCAAUUUAUCCAAGCAAUUUUCCUAGAGUCCUCACCCCCACCCCAAAAAAAAAAUUAAAAAUAGAUUCAAUAGAGGAAAUUAUACCUGCGGGGGCUUUGAAAAAGGAAAGAAAGUAAACAGGAAUGGAAGACAGAACAGAUUUCAGAAGAACCAAGCGGCCGCCAAAAGAAAGGAAUUUAUUACUCCACAAGGACAGGCGCGAAACAAUUCGAUCGACAACAGGUUUCCAAAAACUAAGUUUCCUUGGAUCACCACCAAUAGACAACCCUAAAUAGACAAAAUGGAUAGUUCCCCUUCGACAAUUCAUAACCAACGCCGCUUCAGUCAACCACGAAUCCGAAACAUUCACACCCGUCAACAUGCUUUUAAGAAAAUUUACCUUCAACCCCGAAAUCUUUUCAAAUAAUAGCAAGACGGACCUCAUGGUUCUGACGUUCAACCAACUUUUCUCUCCAAUAAUAAGGGUGUCAUCCGCAAACUGCAAAUGAGUUAAAUAAACAUCACCUGAUCGACCAACUUUGUACCCUGAAAACAUAUUAGCAUCAACCACCGCUUUCAUCAACACAUUGAAACCUUCUGUAACCAACAAAAAAAGAAAAGGUGAUAAAGGAUCUCCUUGUCGAAGGCCCCUCUCAAUAGGAAACUCAUUCGCCGGGCUACCAUUAACCAAAACUGAUGUUGUUGCUGUCCCAACACAUUCAUGAAUCCACUUCCGCCAGAGUCUCGGAAAAUUCAUAUUCUCCAUUACCAUGUCCAGAUACCUCAGAUCAACUGAAUCAUACGCCUUUUCGAAGUCAACUUUAAACAACAACAGUUCUUUAUUCAUCCUCUUAGCUUCAUCCACCGCUUCGUUAGCUAUCAAAAUACUGUCAAGAAUCUGUUUCCCCUGAAUAAAAGCCGACUGUGACUCUGACACAACAUUACCCACUACUAAACGGAGACGAUUGGCGAGGACUUUAGCUAGCACCUUAUACAGACAGCCCACUANAGAGAUAGGCCGAAAAUCAUGGAGUCUUUGCGGACUAUUAACUUUUGGAAUUAAAGCUAUAAAAGUUGAGUUUAUACCUUUUGUAAGUUUCCCAUUCCGAUGGAAAUCUACCAAAAACCUCAUAAAGUCAUCUUGAAGCAAAUCCCAAAAUUGUUUGAUGAAACCAAAAUUGAUGCCAUCAGGCCCUGGGCUUUUGAAGCUAUCACAAUCCCACACCGCCUGUUUCACCUCCUCAACUGAAAAAGGUUUUGUCAAAUUCCCAACCUGAACACCAGUUAAUUUUCGAAAAAGAAGAUUCUCCACACCCCACCGAUUAGCCGCACUUGAUUUAAAGUGAGAAGAGAAAUGAUUAAAGACCGCAUUCCGAAUAGCUUGAACACAUUCCAAAUUAACCCCAUCGACAGACACACACCUAAUAGCAUUGUGACGCCGUUUAGCAGACAUAACUCCAUGAAUUUUUUUUGAAUUUGCAUCUCCUUCCUUCAACCACUGCAAUCGAGAAUUUUGCCAGUGUACACUAGUCUGAGUUCGAGCCAAAGAAUGGAGAUUCACAGAUAAAUCACGUAAUUCCAGCACCUCAUUUUCCUGAAGUUCCGACAACUCUGCCUUUGUAUCUAAAAUGGAUAAUUUAUUUUUUACCUCCGACUUCCUUCCAUCUAAAUUCUUAAUAUGCUAACACUUUAGGUGAAAAAAAAGAUUAUACUUUUAUGUUAAAAAAUAAUUUAAAAAUAUUUUUACAUUGUCAAUUAAUAAAGUAAAAAUAUUAAAAUUUGAUUAAAAUUAUUUUUAAAUUCAUAUACAUGAUUGCUUGUGAUUAUUUAAAAAUAGUAAAAAAAUAAUAGUUCAACCGUAUAGUGAAAUUAAACUAAAAAAAAGGUGUACCGCAAUAAUUUCAUUCUCCACCUUUUAUUGAUUUUGUUUUUUCCGGCCCCUCCCACCAUUUAUUUCUGGCUCCACCCGACAAUCAAUUUGUGUCGAGUGUUUAAUCUACACAAUUUUUUUUAUUAUCUACAUUUAUUUAUUUUUUAUUUCAUUAUUAUUUAUCAGUUAAUAAAUACUUCCUUCGGUGUCCCCGUGAGCUUAGCUCAGUUGGUAGGAACAAAUGCAUAAUAUAUGCAGGGGCCAAGGUUCGAACCUCAGAUACACUACUUCUUCACAUUAAAUAUGUGUGAGCUCCAGCCACUAGGCUACCUGACCAAAAAAAAAAAAUACUCCCUCCGAACAUACUUAUAAGAAAUACUAGAAAUCCGACCCGUGCUGACGUCAUAUAACAAUAAAUCAUAAAUCAUACAAAUAGAAGAAAUUUAAUUCCGUUCAAUCAUACAAAGUACACGAUUUAGGAUACAUUCCAAGUCAUACAUAUUAAUAGAAGAACUUUAAUUUCGUUCCAUCAUACAAAGUACACAAUUUAGGAUACAUUACAAAAAACUUCAUGAUAAACAACAUUAGACAUUACAUUAGUGUCUUCACGAUCAUCACAAUUUUGUUUGUUUUUUGGAAACUAAUGCUUCUAAGUUGCAAAGAAAUUGAUGGUUCUUAUCUUACUAUUAUUUUGUUCCCAAUUUGUAAGGUGUUCAACUAAUCAAGCUCAAACCUUAUAAGAGUGAGGUUCAUGGUGUUUUGUUAAAACUUGAAUAUGCAAUUAACAAUGACGGCCCUUUUAUGGUGGUGUUAUUUUAUUAAUAUUUUGACGGUGAUUUAUCAUAGUAAGUGCAACAGAGUGUGAUAUAUAUAUAUAUAUAUAUAUGAGGAUGUAUACUAUGAGAAUGAGUAUUUUAUAUGAGAAUGAUGAGAAUAAUUAUCAAUCAUCAGAUUAAAAAUAAAAGGUUGCGAUUAAAAAUUCUUAUUUAAACAACCCAUGUGCCUCACUUACACUUAGUGUAUCCACAAUACUCAUUCAGCUACCCAUUCAUCGCUUCAUCUUCUUCAAAAUCUCCAUUUUCUGCAACUUUUUCAUCUAUCAAAUCUUCAUUGUAAUUUCUUUCUGCAAACAAAUCCAUAGAAACAUCUCUUUCAUCAACCCAAACAACAUUUUUUGUGUUUGAGAUGUGAAUUGAGGUUUUUGUUUGUUUUUCAAUCAACUUCAAUUAAGUGUAUUCCUGUUUCGAAUGAAUUUCAAAUUUUUGAUUUCAAUCGGAACUCUUGUUUUUGGAUUUUCAAACUGUUGUAUUUGGAUUUCCAAAAUCUAUUAUCUACCGAAGUUGUUACUAGGUUGAGUCGCGACCAGGUCGCUCUCUUUAAGACGUUUCGCGGCACUGCCCAAAAUUGUGCAAGGCAGACUAUCAACCACGCCGCCUCCAGAAUAAAACAAGCCCAGCUACUACUGUUUGAUUAACUAAUGCACUGUAGAAAAUCGUUCGAGAAUUACACCUCCAAAUAUGGUGCUAAGACCACUCUUUAAUACUGAAACCACUUUAAUAUGGUAUUGUUACCACUCUGUUAUGGUGCUGAGACCACUCAAAUAUGGUAUUAACACCAUUCUAACUUUAAGUUCUCCAAACUAUCAAUAUGGUACUACGACCACUCAAAUAUGGUGAUACCACCAUUUCUCCUCAAAUAGAAAAAUAUUGAAAUACUUUUUAUAUAUACCCUUAAGAUCAUUAUUAAUUCCGACGGAACAUUGUUAUUCCAAAUAGGGACUAUGAUCUUAAAAGUACUCUUUAUUCUGAAGGGACAUAUAUUAUCGAAGAGAUUAUGUUUUAAGACCAUUCUUAAUUCCGAAGGGACAUUAAACCGAAAAGGGACUAUGGUCUUAAGAACAGUCUUAAUUCCGAAGGGACAGAAAGGAGUAGAAAAAGGAGAAUGACUUGUCAACACAAGUCGAAUGAGGGAGAAGAGAGGAAAAACACAGAAAACAUCAACUGUGAAUUUCGGUGUGUUUUUGAACUAAGUGGAGUCCUCUAUUUAUAUAGAGAUUCUGUAACUGUUUUAGCAAAAAUUGCGACAACAGUUACUCUAAUGGAUAAGAUUAAAAUGAAGUUUAUCCAUUAAUCAGUUCAACAACACUUGUGAAUAGGAUGAAAAGAAACAAAUCCACAAAAGUGGAGGAAACAAACUAUUGGAUUUGAAUGAAGGAAAUAUAAUAAUAAUUAAAUUAUUAUUCUUAUCACAACCACCAUAAGCUAAAUUUAUGUAAAGUGAUAUUCUCGAAUAAAUUAAUAAUUAAUAUUAUUUUUAUCAUUACCAAGUAUUUAAAAUUAAAUACCACAAUUUAAGCACUACUAAUGUGUGUGUUCUAUUUUAUGUGAGACCCCCACACUCUAUUUUUUCAAUUCACACAACAUUAGAUCAUAGUAUAAUUACUUGGUGUUUAAUCUUCCAAUUUUUUAUCCAACAUCACAUCAAUGUUCCAACAAUUCCCCACUUGAAUUUUAAAAAUGGUUUCAAUAAUAACGUCAAAACGUUUCUAUAAGGUUGCUAAUAAACAAAGGUGUCGCCUACAACUUGAACCUUUGCAUAGCGGAUAAUAUUCUGAUUUAACAAGAGUUGCUUACAGCAUUGAACUCUAUCUCAGACAUAGAACCCACACACAAACCUUUUCCUAAGGUGUAUUCUAAAAGCUCGUGCGUUUUAUGGCCUUGCACGUCUAUCCCGGUUUUAACGAACGUUCUAGGUAUUCUGCCCCGAAUACCAUAGGAAUCGGCCUAAGUUCCACAUUCGUAUAGGUGAGUCUAUCAAGAGUACUCCUGUAGCUAGGUACUCCACUCCACAUAGAGUAUAGAUCUCAUUAAGAGUUUCUAUUAUCUCAUCCUUAUGUCACUGCAGGAAUCAUGCUUUCUUACUUUUCUCAUGCAUGUUCUUUCACUCAUGACUUGUCAUUACCCAUUGAACCUAUUUCUUGGGAUCUCCAAUCAUGUAGGUCGGGUUACCAUUACUAGUGACCUUUGGGCAUUAGUCCCAUAUUCCUAUUGGAUGUGUUUAGGACUUUUUUUCUAGUAAUUCCUUUCGUCAAAGGAUUGACUAAUUCUUUAUUUGUACGUGCACGAUAUACUUUAACCGUUCCUUUUAGAGCUCUCUAAUUAUUCUGUGUUCGUGCCUUAAUUAUCGUUUCUCACCAUUGUGGUAAUGAUUCUCAAUUUUGUAAUAGAUGCAAACUAUCACAAUAAAUUAACACUUCGGACAACGGUUUCACCCACUGAGGGUUCUUAGCUAGCAAGCAUCUUAUCAACUUGCUUCUUCACUAGUUUUCUCUAGUGUUCUCAUCUCAGAAUCAUUCCAUAAUAUCAUUUGUUUCAACAAAUAACUCCUCCAGUGAUGCUCAAUUGGCAGUCACUGGUCGCUUUGAGACUCAUCUGAAGGAUGUUCAAUUUUUUUUUUUAUCUUGUACUACUCAUGUACAAUAUGAUACUUCUCAUUUGUAUCUUGUAACAUUCAAGUACAAUAGGAUACUUCUCAUAAUGUAAUCCUAGAGUCAUAAUCUUCUUAAGGCACCUCAUGACUCUUUCAAUAGCAUGACAAUGCUUCUCAUCUGUCUACUAGUAAACUUGAACAAAAGUCUUACGACGUGGCCAAUGUCGAGUCUAAUACAUUCAAUGGCAUAUAUAAAGACUGCCAAUGAUGCUUACCCUCAAGUGUUCUUGAAAAGCUUUACACUUGCAAGUUUAUAGUCAAAGAAUUACAUUUCCUUAAGAUAUUCUCAACUUUGUGAGAUUCAUCAGAAAAGUUUUCUUUUUUGAUCUAGUAAUCUUGAAACCAAGAAUUACUUCACCUUUGUCUAGGUCUUUCUUAUCAAUGUUGUUGAUAAACAAUGAUUUCACAUAAUUCAUAACAUGAAUCUUUAAACCAAAUAUGAGCAAGUCGUCUUCAUAGAGACAUAUGAUCGUGCAAAUAUUAUUUGUCACUUUCAUUCACUUUAUACUCAUUCGAUAGCAUUAGAAUGUCAAAUUUUUCAUGUCAUUCUUUAAGAGUUUAUUUUUUACCUCACAAAGAAUUAUCUAACUUACAAAACUUGUUUUCUAGUCCAUGAAUCACAAAACCUUCAGGUUGUUUAAUAUAGACUUCUUCUUCUAGUUCACCAUAAAGAAGGCAACUUUCACAUCUAUUUGGAAUACUAUCGAGUUAUGAACGGCGGCAAAAGGGACUAGUACUCUUAUGGAUAUGAUACUAGUGACUGGUGAAUAAGUGUCGAAGAAUACUAUAUUUUUCUGUCUAAAACAUUUGACUACAAGGAGAGCCUUGUAUUCAUUGAACCGUAUCAUCAGGUUUUAGUUCUUUUUCCUAAAAUCCAAAUACAACCGGUUAGUUUGCAACUAUGAGACAAGUCAACCAAGUGUCUUGUUUUGUUAGACUCUAGAAAAUCCAUUUCAUCAUUUAUUGCUUCUUGCCAUAAUUCAGCAUCCAAUAAGGAUAUAGCUUCUUUAAGGCUUAAUGGAUAUUCUUCCAAUGUAUAAACCGAGUUCAUACUCUUUAGCUAUUCUAGCUUUCCUACCUCCUCGAGGUUCUAUAACAUCUGGUACGAUGUUUUCAUAACUAUUUAUGAUUACAUGAAUGUGAUCAAAUAUAGUGCCCCCACUAGUUCUUAAUUUUUAGAAGGGAAUUUAUUUUGCCCCCAAUAAUGUUGUGCUCCCACUAGUGCCCCCACUAUUCUUUAGUUAAAGGGGUAAAUAUAUUUCCAUAGAAAUCGACAUCUUUUAAUUCUAUGAUCACUUUAGCAUUUAAGUCAUAAACUUAUAUGCUUCGCUGUUUAUAGCAUACCUAAUGAAUACACAUUCAUAGGCUCUACUAGUGAGUUCAACUCUCUUGGGAUUCAUAGUCAAAAUAUAGUCCAGACAAUCCCAAGUUAAAAAAUAAGACAAGUUGGAUUGUCUUUUCUUCAAAAAUUUCUUAAUUAGAAUUUUUGUUCUUAGACUUGGGUACUCUAUAAAUUUCAAUUUUCGUUAUAAAAAUUGAACAUAUCAAGCAUAUCAAUUUUAUUUUUCAAAAUUCACAGUCAUCAAUAAAUAUGAUAAAAAUAUCCUUUCAUCAUUUCUACUUUAUGUGCCAUCAAAUUCACACAUAUCAUAAUUUAUUAUGUUUAGAGAUUUAUAUCUCUAAAUUCUGAUUUAUAUGAACUUUUGGUUCAUAUAUCUUGACUGCAAUAAAUAAAAUUGUCUAAUCAUAUAACUUUGGAAUUAAAUCCAAGUUACUCAAGUUUAAAAUUAAACGUUUGUUCACAUGACAAAUUUUGAUAUGUCAAAUAUUAAAAUCACACAACUAAUAAAAUAGAAGGAAAAUUUAUUUUGAACAUACCAUCAAGGACACAUCUUUUCCCACAAUAAUGCAUGAUGCACAAAUCUUUCUUUAAGUUUGAGCUAACUCAGUCUUAUUCAAUAGAAAUCUGAAAUUCAGAUUCUUUCUUAUUUUAAAAGCAUGCAACAAGUUCCAAACCUUAACAUUAGCAUCAAGGGAAAAUGGGUAUUCUAAAUUCUUGCAUUUUAAUAUGCUAACUUGCGACUCUGUAUACCCAACAAUAUGCCAUAAAAGUACCUAUAGCAUUUAUAUAAGGGAACUUCUACGGUACACUCACAAAGUGAGGUGUACCGGUACUCUUGCUCAAUAAUUUUAUAAAUUAACGAUCAUUUUUUGUGAAAUAAAUAACUAUUUAUCAACAUUUAUAUUUUAUAGAACAUUAUUUCAUAAGAAAAAACAUCAUUGCAUUGUUUAUAAGAAUUUUAGUAAUAUUUUUACAUAUUAUCGUAAAAAAAUAAUCAAUGUUCUCGAUUAUGGGUGAUAAAAAUUCAAAAAAUAUUAAUUUUAAUUCGUUGACACUUUUGAUGAAUAAGAUUUAGUUAUUAUAAUUAUAAAUGAUAAAAAAAUAAUUUUUUUUUAUCAAAAAACAACUCAUUUAACUAUUAGUUUAAAGAGUGGAUGUACCGGUACACUCAAAUAUAUUGGAUGUACCAUAGAAUUUCGCUUUUGUAUAAUUCGUUGCAUAAGUAAUAAGUUAUGGCCAUUCUUCUUACUGUUUGAAAAAACUGACAUAGAUUUUUCAAUUCUGGUUACUGUUUUAGUGACAAACUAAACUUGUUUGGUUCUAUAACGAAUAAUUUGUUUUGUAACAAAUUAUAGUCUUAAUCAAAUAUUGUUCGAUUUUUUAUUUUAUUCACGGUAUGAUUUUGAUUUUUGAAAACAAAUUUCAAUCAAAUUCAGAGUCACAUUAGUGAAUUUCUUAGUGUUAUUGUUUAUAACUACAAUCACUUUUUCAGUCAAAAGAUGUAUUUAUAUAGUUUGACACAUUAUUUUUGGAUUUCCAAACUGUUGUAUUUGGAUUUCCAAAUUCUAUUAUCUAACGAAGUUGUUACUAGGUUGAGUCACGACCAGGUCGCUCUCUUUAAGACGUUUUGCGGAACUGCCCAAAAUUGUGCAAGGCAGACUAUCAACCACGCCGCCUCCAGGAUAAAACAAGCCCAGCUACAACUGUUCGAUUAACUACUGCACUGUAGAAAAUCGCUCGAGAAUUACACCUCCAAAUAUGGUUCUAAGACCACUCUUUAAUACUGAAACCACUUUAAUAUGGUAUUGUUACCACUCUGUUAUAGUGUUGAGACCACUCAAAUAUGAUGUUAACACCAUUCUAACUUUAAGUUCUCCAAACUAUCAAUAUGGUAAUACGACAACUCAAAUAUGGUGAUACCACCAUUUCUCCUCAAAUAGAAAAAUAUUAAAAUACUUUUUAUAUAUACCGUUAAGAUCAUUCUUAAUUCCGACGGGACAUUGUUAUUCCAAAUAGGUACUAUGAUCUUAAAAAUACUCUUUAUUCUGAAGGGACAUAUAUUAUCGACGAGACUAUGUUUUAAGACCAUUCUUAAUUCCGAAGGGACAUUAAAACGAAAAGGGACUAUGGUCUUAAGAACACUCUUAAUUCCGAAGGGACAGAAAAGGAGUGAAUAGGCCAAAAACCCCCUGAAAUUGUAACUUUCGUCAAAAAUCCCCCUGAUUUUUAAGAAACUUCAAAAACGCCCCUGAAAUUAUCAAACGUCAGUCAAUUACCCCCCUCCGUUUGUUUUGGCUGUUAAAUGACUAUUUUUUAAUUUCUUUUUGCUUUCUUCAUCUUCUUCCUUCCACUUUUUUCAUCAUCUUCAUCAAUAUUCAUAAAAAAAUCCAGAAAAAUUUUAAGAAACAACAACCAUUAACAACAUCAUCAUUAACAUCACACACUUUAUAAUGAUUCUCUCUCUCUUGUUUGUUACCUUCUUGAAUUAAUCAACAACAACCUUUUGGAAUUCAUCAACAACAAAAUGAAUAAUAGAAAAGAUCAUGAACUUGUUUGAAAAAGAACAAGGUUUAUGAUGAAUAGCAUGGACAACAACAUCAACAGCAACGGUUCUUCUCAUUCUCAUGAUGUUACUGUUCCAUCAUCACUCAUGUCUCCUCUUCAGAAUCAAUCACUUUUUAACCCUCAUUCAAAUGGAUUUCUUUUUUGGAGCAGCGAUGAGAUUACCAACAACAAUGAUCAUCAUCAUCAAUUGUCUCUUGAUCUUUCUGCUACGACCCUUUUGGAUAACAAUGAGCAACAAACAAGAGAAGCUAGUAAUGAGAUGAUGAUGAUGUUGUUAAUGGUUGCUGUUUCUUAAUUUUUUUCUGGAUUUUUUAUAAAUAUUCAUGAAGAUGAUGAAAAAAGUGGAAGGAAGAAGAUGAAGAAAGCAAAAAAAUAAAAAAUAGUCAUUUAACAGCCAAAACAAACGGAUGGGGGUAAUUGACUAACGUUUGGCAAUUUCAGGGGGGUUUUUGACGAAAGCUACAAUUUCAAGGGGGUUUUUGCCUAUUUACUCGACAGAAAAGAGUAGAAAAAGGAGAAGGACUUGUCAACACAAGUCGAAGGAGGGAAAAGAGAGGAAAAACACAGGAAGCAUCAACUAUGAAUUUCGGUGUUAAAAUGAAGUUUAUCCAUUAAUCAGUUCAACAACACUUGUGGGUAGGAUGUAAAGAAACAAAUCCACAAAAGUGGAGGAAACAACUAUUGGAUUUGAAUGAAUGAAAUAUAAUAAUAAUUAUAUUAUUAUUCUUAUCACAACCAACAUAAACUAAAUUUAUGAAAAGUGAUAUUCUCGAAUAAAUUAAUAAUUACUAUUAUUUUUAUCAUUACCAAAUAUUUAAAAUUAAAUACCAUAAUUUAAACACUACUAAUGUGUGUGUUCUAUUUUAUGUGGGACCCCCACACUCUAUUUUUUCAAUUCACACAACAUUAGAUUAAAAUAUAAUUACGAUAUUUAAUCUUCCAAUUUUUCAUCCAACAUCACAUCAAUGUUCCAACAUUUACCAUUGACACGCCAAAAUAUAACUGUUAUAUAAACGAACAUUUCUUUGGUUUUGUUAUACAUAGAUAAAACAGUUAUUUCAUAGUUAAGCAUGGUUGCAAAGCAUUUGCUUUUAAUAGCAGAAAAAAUAAUCAUAUAAUAAGGAACGUCGACCAAUAUUACAUUACCAAAACUUAGAACUCAUCAUAUUAUCUAAUUUAUCUGAAUCUUAUUGCCCUUUUAUAUUUUGUAAAACAAAAGUUUAAGAUGCAAGAACAAAUCUCUUUAAAAAUUAUAAGCAAUUAUAACAUAUGGUAAAAGUAACAAAAACUUUAUAAUUAUAUUAAGCAUGAAGACUCGUACAUAUUGAUUGAAUACAUAGUUCAAUACUGAAAAGAAAAAAAACUAAAAGCACCACAUAAUAGAUCCUUUCAGAAUUUAAAACGCAAAUUGAUACGAAGCUGACAGAUUUCGUAAAUUCCAUUCAUCUUUUUCAAACACGCAUACGACUAACAUAGAGAGUCUUGUUGAAGCCGGGAGCUGGAGCACCGAUCUUUAUCGUUUCACCCUGCUGAAUUCUUCAUGCAUCUACCAUCCUUUUCAACUGAAGCAAGAUUAUUAUGGGAGUAAUGGCUAUACCAGUGAGGAAUUGGUAGGAGAGCAAUGCUAGGAGUGGACGAUCUCCCAUGCUUGAAACAGGUAUGUUACGAAUUUGCUUGGAACAAUGGCAAAUCAAGCUGCUCACGCAACAUGGCUUAUAUAGUGCAAGCAUGGACAUGCGAAAGAGGGAGGGGUUUAAAUCUGCAUAGAGAAGCCGAACUGUUAUGUUUGGAAAAUGUAACAGAUGAUUGAAUUGAAUUGAAUGUCUUAAAUGCAAUGGAAUUUACAUGGCUCGGCUGAACUGAAGGGUUGAGGGUGGGAAACUUCAAUUUCAUAGUGCAAUGCUGAUUAAGAAAAACACUUAGUGGGAAAUAUGAAUUGCGGCUAUAAUGGGAAUUAAAUAACCAAGAAAUUAGUGUUAGGGGAAACUUCAGUUUUUCCUUUUCAUUACAUUGUAACUUACAAAAAAUAGUUAAUAACUACAAAAUGAGAAAUAUGAUUUGCGGCUUGUCAUACCUCAUAUUUGAUUCCGAGUCGGGCUCUCUUCUCUCAAUUAUUCUAUUUACUACUUCUAUUUUUUAAACUUCCAUCUUUUAUUAAUUUUCUUUUUAAUUCUAAAUUGAAUUUUAGUCCCUUGGUCUUAUUUAUCUUUUUAUUUUCCCAUAAAAAUCCAAAAAUAUACAUGUUCAUUCCUUUUUAUUAUUUUUUAAGUGAUAAGUCCAAAAGAAAAGUCCCAAACACAGCUCACAAACAGCUAAUCCCAGCCUGUAAUGUCUCCUCUCCAAGCAACAAAAUUUUGCUCUAUAAAUACAAGCAACCCAUAUCGCAACCAAAUCAAAUCCGUACAAAACCGAACCUCAUCAACAAACCUACACAGAUCCAGAUCAAGAAAAAAAAACAAUAAAAAGGUAGUAACCCUUUUUGUAGAUCUAGGGUCCGUUAAACCUCAUUUCAAAAAACCGUUUUCAAAAAAGAGAGGAGAAGGGAAAGGGUAAUCUUUUGGUAAAAAAAAUCAAAAAAAGGAGGAGUUUUUAACUCCGGCGCGGUGGCGCCGCCGCGAAAACUCGCCGACCACCGCGCCGGAACUAUCUCCGGUAGCCUCUCCUCGUCGAAGAAGAUGAAGAAAUUCUAGAGAGAAGGCAGAGCUUCUCUCUCUAGAAAUGAGAGAAGAGAGAGAAAAAGAAAUAAAAAUGAACAUAAAAAACCGGAGCUGGCUAUUUAUAAAGGGAUUGAACCGGUUCAACCUUUAAACCGGUCUGAACCAGUCUAAUCCAAGCCCACACGCGUCUGGCCUCACCCAAGGCCCAAAUCCUCUUCAUUUUAUUUUCUGCACCCCCCUUUACUGCUCACACACCCUCAGCAUCUCUUUUUUUUUUUUUAAUUUCUUUUUCAUGCAUUUUAAUUCUCUCUCUAUCCAGAUUGCUCUGGUCCUAUAUUAACUGUUAAUAUUAUAUUUUUGUUUAAUUUAAUUAUUCUCUAGAACAAUCUGGUCCUUGUUAAAAUGAACAUAAAAAAGAGAGAAGAGAGAGAAGAAGAAAUAAAAAUGAACAUAAAAAACCGAAGCUGGCUAUUUAUAAAGGGAUUGAACCGGUUCAACCUUUAAACCGGUCUGAACCAGUCUAAUCCAAGCUCACACGCGUCUGGCCUCACCCAAGGCCCAAAUCCUCUUCAUUUUAUUUUCUGCACCCCCCUUUACUACUCACACACCCCCAGCAUCUCAUUUUUUUUUUUAAUUUCUUUUUCAUGCAUUUUAAUUCUCUCUCUAUCCAGAGUGCUCUGGUCCUAUAUUAACUGUUAAUAUUAUAUUUUUGUUUAAUUUAAUUAUUCUCCAGAACAAUCUGGUCCUUGUUAAUUAAAUUAAUCCAGAGUGCUCUGGUCCUAAUUAACUGUUAAUAUUAUAUUUUUGUUUAAUUUAAUUAUUCUCCAGAACAAUCUGGUCCUUGUUAACUAAAUUAAUCCAGAACAAUCUGGUCCUUGUUAAUUAAAUUAAUCCAGAGUGCUCUGGUCCUAAAUUAACUGUUAAUAUUAUAUUUUUGUUAAUCCAGAGUGCUCUGGUCCAAACUUAAAAUGUUAAUAUUUAUUUAUUUUUGUUUAAUUUAAUUAUUCUCCAGAAUAUUCUGGUCCAUGUUAAAAUAACUUCACAAUUCAGCUUAACUUCAUUUUUCUCAUUCUGCUUAUAUAAUUUUCAUAUCUUUAUUCCAAAACAACAAAAAUAUUCAAAUAACAAAUCACAAAAAUAUUUUUUCAUUACAAACCUUGAUUCUCAAAUCAAGUGAUCGUUCUUUUUAUUCUUCUUAAUCAAAUUUCAAAUCAAGUCUAAUUCAACUUCAAGUCAAUUUCUUUCAAUCUAAAAAACACAAACCAAUUCUCAUUCGUCACUUGGCUUUUUAUUUCAAAACCUUUUUCAAAACAUAUAAAAAACACAAAACCAAUCAAACGUCAAUUUCUACCCCGAACUACGAGGUUUUGAUCCCUCACAGGUACGUAGGCAGGGGACCUUGUCCUUCCAAAUGAAUUAAAAAACAAUUUUCUUUUUUUUUCUUUUCAACUUUCAACUAAAAAAUAUUUUUCUUUUUUUCUCUUCAAUUAAAAUCAAUUUUCUUUUCUUUUUCAACUCAUCAUUCAAUUCCAUUUUCCAUCUCUUUAAAAGCAAGCAAGUUGUAGCACCAAAAGUUAAAUAAAAUCAAGAGGUUCUCGUAGAGUACUAUGAAUAUUUAGGGUGCUAAUACCUUCCCUAAAUAUAACCAACCCCCGAACCCUAAAUCUUUUCAAAAUGGAUGGUUUGGAACUUUUUCCCCUUAAAAAAAAAUUUGUUCAGUCGUGAGAUAAAAAGUGAGUCAAAAGUCAAUCAAAUGGCCUUGACGUCCGAAAAAUGGCGCGACACGGCUGUAAUGAGAAUUAAAUAAGCAAGAAAUUAGUGUUAGGAGCAACUUCAAAAAAUAGGAAAAAUUGAGCAAAGGACCUGAAACAACAUAAAGCUUUAAAAAAUAGGAAAAGAUAUUGAAAACAGACGUCGUAAUUGUGAGAAAAAAAUAAGCAUAUCACCUAUCAAGCAGUGAUAGGACAUCAGAGUUUCAAUACCACGACAUUCCAUUGCAAUGAUAGAAAAAUGGACGAGAUUGAAUUUUUUUAAGGCGUAUAGUUGUGAUAAAAAAUUACGGUAUCACUAGAAUCAAGAGGCGCUAAAGCUUUAAGUUGCGUAGGGAGCUUUAAUCAUGCGCAGGAGUCAAAUGUGUGAAUUAAAUGCGAUAGAAUAAAUUCUGAUCGAUUGAUUAGGAAAUGCUCUCAAAUUUGAAAUGAAGUGCUUUAAAUUAUUUAAUGUAUGAAAAACAAUUUGAAAUAAAAUGAAUUUAUUGCGUGUUAAAAGGGUGAGAAGGUCAAACCUGUGAAUUAACUGCGUGGGAGGGAAAUUGCUAGGUUAGAUUUAGGGUUAGGGUUAGCUUGACCAGACAAACUUUAGUAAGUAAGAUUUGAUUUUUUUUAUUCAUUACAUAAAUGAUAUAUUUGGUUUAUAUUUUAGACAAGAUACAUCAAUUACUUAAUGAAUCUAAAAAGUUAAAUUUUUCUUAUAAAUAAAACCGGAAGAAGUACCAUGAACAAUAACAAUCUUUCACAGUAAUAUGUUUAGUGCCACGUGAGUCCUGUAUUUUCUAUGUUCUUGUAGGACGUAAAAAGGUUCAAAACUUUGUUUGUUGAGAGAGAAAAUAUGUGUUCCCAUUUAUGGGACAUUCUGAGUAUGAUUGGUGUUAUUGUUUGAUAGUGGGGAGGAGUGAUUGUCUUCUAACUUCUAAGUUCUAACAAUUAGGUUAGGGUUAAAUAUAAAUAAAAUAAAAUAAAUUCAAAGGGGUGGUUGGAUGAUUGGGGUGUGGUAUCCUCAUGGGGGUUGCACGUGAUGUCUCAAAUCACUAACCCGUAAUUAGUAAUUAGUGUUCACAUGAUUGGGUGCAUAAACCAUAUAGAUUCAAUAAUCAUAUUUAUUAGGGUAUAAGUCUUUCUUUGAUGUUGUUUGUAAGAGUUGUACUUCUUCGUUCGUCAGUUUAAUGUACUUUAUCGAUGAAUUUUUAUAGAAAUAUCAUCCGUAAAUUUAAAAGGAGAGGUAAGAACGGAAUACACAUUAUAACGCAUUCAUCAUUUUUUUGGAAAAGCUUAAUAAUCAUCGUUACAAAUACAUAGUCUGAUGCAAAUUUAUACAUGAUUUCUCCCGAAGAAAUAUCUAUCUAUACUAUAUAGUGGCAAGAUAGAUAAAUACACCAUUAUAUCAACACACAACAUUAUUUUUAUUCAUGAAAUAUAUUACUGAGAAAGAGUACAUGGUGCAUGAAGAUAGAUAUCAUUAUGAUCAGUUUUGAGUUUUGUCCUCAGUUUGCUCGGCACCGUGACCACCGUGACCACCUCCACCAUGUCCCCCGUGUCCACCUCCACCGUGGUUGUAACCACCUCCACCGUGGUGGUAACUACCUCCUCCAUGGUUGUAACUACCUCCACCAUGGUUGUAACCACCACCAUAUUUGGCAUCAUUUACUUCAUUAGUCUUUUCCUCAGUUUGCACGGCAACAGAUUCAGCAGCACCAUGACCACCGUGACCUCCUCCACCAUUGUAACCACCUCCACCGUGACCUCCGUGGCCUCCACCACCAUUGUAACCACCUCCGCCAUGGUUGUAACCACCUCCACCGUGGUUGUAACCACCUCCGCCGUGGUUGUAACCACCACCAUUGUAACCUCCUCCACCAUGGUUGUAGCCACCUCCACCGUUGUUGUAACCACCACCACCAUGGUUGUAACCACCUCCACCGUUGUUGUAACCACCACCGCCGUGGUUAUAACCUCCACCAUUAUAACCACCACCACCGUGGUUGUAACCUCCACCAUAGCCUCCAUAUUUGGCAUCGUUUACUUCAUUAGUCUUUUCAACAACUUCUGAAACACGAUAUAUAUGAAUUGUUAAAUCAUUACUUCAAAUAUAUAUGAAUUUAAUGGUAGUGGGUUGACGAUAUAAAAUAACUUUGUAUACAAGACUAAUCAAAAUAUUUCAAGUUUCCCUGCAAAUUAAAAAAUAUUAAUUGAUGUGGUGAUUCUAAAUAUUUUCAAUGGUUUUGUGUGCAAAAAUUUUUUGAACCAUCAACCAACCACCAUUAAACUUAAUAUAUAUAUAUAUAUAUAUAUGAUUAUGUAUUCACACCGGCGUAAUGUUUGAAUAAUUUUACAUUUCUCACAAACUUAUUGAAUAUAGAAUUAUACCAAAUUUAAAAAGACUCACAAUUGAAUAUAUAAUAUAAUUAUAUCAUAUUGAUCAUCUUUGUAAGUUAUGAAGCAAAUUUGAAAUCAUUUUAUAUAAAAUUGAGUGCAUGAAGAUUAACGUUUACAUAGAAAAGAAUUAAUUAUAACGUAUAAAAUUAUAUAAUUAAGUAUAAAAGAAUUAUCCUUCAAAAAAGUAGAAAAGAAUUAAAACAUAUAUCUAAAACGCUCAUGAAAACAUAUAUAAAGAAACAUAAUAUAAUAUAUAGCUCACCCUUUUUAGUAUCAGUGGAAGUUUCAGUUAAGUCCCUAGCGGACAUCACUGAGGAAAUAAGAGCCAUAGCCAAUAGGCCUAGCAUGAGGAUUGCCUUUUUCGAAUCCAUUGUUCAAAUGUGAUAUUUAGUAGUGAACGAUGAGAAAAACUAGUAAGAAGUGUACUCUAUAUAUAAUGGAGGGAAGGAGGGAGAUGUAGGGACCUUCACUUGGCAGUUGAGAAGGUAGCUCUUGUGUAUUAAUUCAUUACUUUGUAGGUUCAUAAUGUAUCUAGUCAUAUUAUAGAUCAGAUACAUUUCAUCAGCAAUUAUAUUGAUGAAACUUCUUCUUGUUCUUGUUCUUGUCGAAUGAGUCUUCAACUAUUGCUUCAUCUUCACCUCUCAUCAGCAAUUCCAACGAGCCUUCCACUUUUUCUUCCUUUUGAAAAUUCAUGAAGUCUUUUUAUUUUUCUUCUCUCAAAUAUAUUCUUUUACUUUUCACUUGAGAUUUUUAACAAUUGCUACUCAUCUUAUUUAUAGAAUUUUAACUCUUCUUAGAACCAUUGUCUAUAACAAAAUUUUGUUUAAAUUUGAAGAUAAUGAGAAACAAACUUUGUUUAAUAAAAAACUUUGUUCCAAAGAGAUAGCAUUAAUUUAGUUUUAUUGAAAAAGAUAAGAGUAAUUGAUAAAGGAUAUAAUUGAAAAAUCGUACGCUUAAAAUACCAAAAAGACAGUUAAAUAGUAACGAAAAAUUCAUCCAAAAAAGACACUUAAAAAGAAACGGAGGGAAUAGUAUUUCAUAUCUUAUUUAUGUAUUAACAAAAAAUAUAAAAUUUUGAUAUUUUAAAAAUAUUCGACAAAUACAAAAAUAUCUUAUAUAUUAUCAUUUGCCUAUAUAAUAUACGAUAGUAAAAAAAAGAUGAUUAAAGUAUGUUAGGUAAAUAAUGCAUUUAGUCACUUGUUUUAGAAUAGAGUAGUUGUAAAGAUUGAAGGCUAUGAAAAUGGAGAUGAGUUAUGUCUACUUGCUAUUGGCUGAAAGUGACAUUUUGAAAGCAUGCUAUUGGUUCAUACUAGCUAUCUCAUCCCAUGGAGAUACAUACAUUCAAACUUAUCCAGACACAUUCAUAAUAUGUUUUCUAUAACUAAACAAAAUUAGCAAAAGAGUAUUACAGAGGUAGACUCUAAACUUUUUAAAGAACAGUGAUGUUGAAUACUUGUUUGAGAAAGUCGUGUGUAGGCAUAAUCAUUUAGACACAAAGUUUAGGCACAUACACAUAAAUAAAUAAAAUUAAAAGAUAAAUAAAAUAGUUACAUCAAUCAAUAUCACUUUAAUUAUUUUCUUUUUAAUGUUUUAUUUCAUAGGUGUGUGCCUAAAUGUGAGAUGUUGGUCUUGUGAUCAAGUUAGAGUUUCUCAACUAGCUUUUACCGUCGUAUAAUUUUAUUUGCUUCAAACGAUUACACAAAUUAAGAAAGAAUCUAUGUUUCUCAACUAUAUUAAGAAAACGAGUUGUUAGAACUAAAAUAUCGAAAUAUAAAAUAUGAAUAAAUGCUUUCUUAAUUCAAAGAGCAAUGAUAUCGAAACAUAAACUUUGCAAUUUGGUUAUUAGUUGAAUAUAAUCCGGAUGUACGAUCUUGGAUCGACGGCUGAGAUUAUUUUUCCGUGUAAAAUUAAUUUUAUAAUUUGAAUAAUUGAAUCACAAAUCAAUGGUCAAGAUUCACUACAUCGUAAAACUGCGUGUUGUUUUUCCAGCAUGGAAUUUGGGUCCCUAUACUCCGAUUCAUCACAAUAAUGAAAUAGAACUAUAAAUAACCUAUCGUUACAGAGGUAAACACAAUUGACUGAACUACAUGCAUGAACAAAAACCAAGUCUUAUUUUCACGUGAUUUUUGUUUCUUUCAUACCGGUUGUGGUUCUAAAACCUUCCUAAUUGAUUCUUACAUCCACCCUUAGCUAAGAUUCUUAUUUGGGACUUGGGAGUGUCACUCCGAAAGUGAUACUAUUAGAGGACACAAUUGAAAAAAUAUAUAUCAUACUGAAAAUUUAAUGUGACAAUUAUUUUACGAUAACUAUUUACAUAUAUGUCACUCAUCGUUUAACGAAAUAUGGUAAUGAUUUUUCUAAACACCAAACAUUUUGUUAUGACAAUAAUAUUUUAGUUUUUAUUAAAUAAGUAACUUUUUUUACAAAGGAAAACUUAGGUGAGUUGGACUCCAAGCAUUAAAAAUAUAGUUACAAAGCACACAUAACUAAAAGAUCUUUAUAUUAACAACGGAGAUUGAACUUACGAUGAUGUCAAUCAACUCAUUAACAACUGAAUCAACAUUCGCUAACGACCACGACCCACGCCUUCCCCUCCCUUACUGUUCAACUGAAGUACUAUGUUGAAUUAAAUUGCCAGCAACAAACGAUAACGAGACUCACCCACUUAUUCGAGUUUUCCUUUUCCUUCAAUUCUAACAAAAUUUAUGCAUUUAAAUAUUUAAUGUUUCUUUGUUUUUUCCUAUAGAUACAAAUUUGCGGGUAUGAGCAUUUAAUGUUAAGCAAAAAUAUCGCCAAAUAACAUUGCAAUUUGUGAAAAAUAUCAUGAUUAACGAUCUACUCGUCCAUGGAUUAACGGCGGUAACAUUGUUGCUGGCUCCAUUAUUAGUAAUUAGUUCUAUGGUCGACUCAAAUGAUCUAAACUGUAAACUUAACUUCAAAUGUUUGCUAGAACUGCAAGACAGAAAAAGAAAGAAAAGAAAAACAUAUGUAACGUGAAAAUUGAAAGUAAGUUCCAGAUUGUAUGAUAAAAAGUAGAGUUGUUUGGUAAAGCCUAUAAUUAGUACCAUUGUUUUAUCAUAAAUUUAUUUUGAGAUAUUUUUUUCUUUUUUGCAUAAUUUUAUUAAAAUUGAGGUGUUGUAAAUAUUUUUAUGAUCUCUUACAUUUAUUAACGGUGGAUCAUUUGGAAAACAUCAAAAUUUCAAUUAUAGCUGCAUAAUUUUUAGUUAGACUUUCUUUACUUCCUGACCAUCAGGGGUGGGAAUAGGUUAGGCCGAGUUAGGCUUUGCAAGGCCUGAGCCUGAUCUGUCAAAUUUUAUGAAGGACUAAGUCUGGUCUGCGGUCUGUCAUAAACUUACUUUUUAGGUCUGAGUCUAACCUUCUGAAAGUUUGAUACGGUCUGCUAGCCUGUUUAAAAGCAUAUUUCAUAUAAACAUCUUUAAAUAAGCAAUGUUAUCUAAGUUUAAAUAGACUAACGAACUAAUAUAUCAAAUAGAUUAAACUCUCUUUUGAUAAUCAACAUGACUUUUUAGAGAAUUUGAUUAUAUAUUGUAUCAUAUUUCAAUUCUACUUUAUAAUAAUACAUUUAAAUAUGCAAAAAUAUAAUGUAUACUAAUAAACUUAAAUUACUAAAUUACUGAAAAAGUUAACAAAUUUUUAUUUUAAUUCAAAGUACAAAAUAUAAUAUAAUAAUAAAUAAUAUUAUUCAUAUUUAGGCUUAAUUACCUUUUUGAUCCUCUAACUAUUUAGUUGGUAUCAGAUUGAUCCUCUAACUAAAAAUUGAUUUAUUUCGGUCCUCUAAGUUUCUCACUGUUAUUACAUUUAGUCAUUUCUGUUAGUUUUAUUCAAAUAAACGUUAGAGUUUGUGUUAUGUGGGUAUCUGACCUCCUGUUUCACACAUACAUAUGAACCAUAACAGUUACCAAUAAUAUCAGUCACUAUUUAAUCAUAAUACCUUAACAAUGAAUAUGACCAAAAUGAUACUAAUAAAUAAAGUUAGAGGACCCAUAUAACACAAACCCCAACGUUUAUUUGAAUAAAACUAACAGAAAGGACUAAAUAUAGUUAUAGUGAGAAACUUAGAGGACCGAAAUAAAUCAAUUUUUAGUUAGAGGACUAAUCCGAUACCAAUUAAAUAGUUAGAGGACCAAAAAGAUAAUUUAGCCUCAUAUUUACUUAAAUAGUCCGGCCUAAUAGGCCUAAAAGGCUUUUAGAAUGACAUGUGGUCUGACCUUUUAAGCUAAAUGGGCUUCUAAAAAAGUCUAGGCCUUCUCUGUUUAGGAAAAAAGUAUGAUCUGGCCUAGCCUAUCGUAUGUAUGCUAGGUCGUAGGCCCCUGUAGGCUGGCCUGACCUAUUCCCAUCCCUACUGACCAUACUCGGAUCACUAAGAUAUUUUUCUCACAAAGAUAGAGAUAUAAGACCGAAAAACACAAUUACGUACACUUAUUCGUAAAACAAUCUUACGUACACUUGUUUGUAAAAUGAGAUCAACCAUGAUAAUAAACAUGUUUUAAUUUCAUAAACAUAUUUAACAUUUUUUUUUAUCACAUCAUUAAACUAUCAUAUAUUAAUUUAUUUAUUUUUUCAUCUUUAUUUUUAAAGCAUACUCCUUUCGUUUUAAAAUAUAAGUAAAUUUUACUUUUUAGGUUCAUUUAAAUAAUGAUGUAUAUGGUUUAUAAUAUGGGUCACAUACAUCAUUAAUUGAAUGAAUUUAAAAAGUAAAAUUUACUUAUAUUUUGAAACGAAGGGAGUAUACAAAAGAUUUUCCAAAUGAGAUAGAAAGAUUUUUCUUUUCAAAUGAAUGAUUGAUCCCAUAUUUAGAGAAGGGGCUAGUUGUUUCCUAUGCAACUAACAAAAUAGACCACUCAUCUGAUAACAAGGAAGUGAGAAGAAUUCACAGAACACUUGGAUAGGUCAUUCAAAAAAAAAAAAAACUAGCAUAAGUCAUUUGGUGCCGCCAUUCAAUUAAUUCAUUUCAUACCGACACUUUGACAAUAUUGAGGCAUCAAAUGCAAUCGUUUUUUAUUUUAUUUUCUAUGAUUAAAAUCGACAUUGUUUUUUGGUGAGAUUCGCAAGUGGCAAGCCACGUAACUGUACAAGUUCAACAUGCAUUUGACUUUAGCAAAACAAAUUUCAAUCUUAGAUUAGAUCACGUGUUUGUUUUCAUUUGUUAGAAUCCAUUUUUCUAGUGUAGUAUCCGUUUAAGAGGAAAUGAAUUUUUAAAGUGAAAAUCUCUCUAACUUUUCUCAAUUGUUAUAUUAAAAUCAUUAAACAUGAAAGAGAAAAAGAGAUAUAAAAUUAUAAAAAAAAAAAUAUUAAACUUAUGUUUUAGAUGUAAUAAUUGAGAAAAAUUAAAACCGUUUCAAUUUUUUUUUUAAAUGGCCAAAUAUUAUUAACCACUAAUAAGCUUGGGUGGUAAAAAAUACAAAGAUUUAUUUCCACAUUAAGAUGGUUGUAGGUUUUUGGGUAAAAUAUGUUUUAAUCAGUCUAAAUAUAUGUGCUUUCAAUUUUAGUCUUACAUAAUUUUAAUAGUAAUUGUAAUUGGUCCUUCAUGUCAAAUGGGUUGCUAUUUGAGGCUUUGAGCUAAAGGAAUUUGAGGGAUUCUUCCAUGCUCACAAGACCAAAUCAAUAGUGAUUGGACAUAAACGCAAAAAGAUGGUCUUUAAAAUAUUCAAUAUUUAAUUAUUCUUUUGGUCCCUUAACUUAUUUUUUGGUUUCGUUUUGGUACCUUAACUAUUAAAAGUUUUAUUUUGGUCCCUUAACUUAUUUUUUGCUUUCGUUUUGGUCCCUUAACUAUUAAAAGUUUCAUUUUGGUCCUUUAACUUACUUUUUGGUUUUGUUUUGGUCCCUUAACUCAUCCUCUGUCAACCACUUUGGUCUUUUAUAUUAGGAUGAAUGUAUUAGAGUUAAGGGACCAAAAUGAAACCAAAAAAUAAGUUAAGGGACCAAAACGAAACCAAAAAGUAAGUUAAAGGACCAAAACGAAAUUUUUAAUAGUUAAGGGACCAAAAUGAAACCAAAAAAUAAGUUAUGGGACUGAAACGAAACUUUUAAUAAUUAAGGAACCAAAACGAAACAAAAAAAUAAGUUAAGGGAUCAAAAGAGUAAUUAAGCCUUUUUUUUUUUUAUCAAUUUCCUCUUUAUUAUUAAAAAACUAUUCUUUUUGUUUGUGUGUCAAACACUUUUUAUUUGGUCAUGUGACCAUAUUAAAAUUUCUCAAGGAAUCAUGACUAGAUACGCCUCGUGGACAUUUUGAUUGACGUACGGUGUUGACUCGUGAAUAAACAUUAGACUCAAUUGUUAUUUCAUAUAUGUAUCAUCGAAAUUUUAGAGACAUUGUUUUAAAACUUACUCUGAUUCAUCAAUUUAUACUUUUUUAAUUUAAACUAUCAUAUGUUUAUUUUAAAAAAAAAUCAUGAAAUAAAAAAAUUAAAAAAAAUAAAAACUCAUGACCAUAUUCUCGAAUCCCAAGUUCCCAAUUUCUUCUACCUAAUUCCAUGAAUAAUAUGAGUGUUUCACAUAUAUGAGUUUGAUUAAUUUUUCACAGUAUUGGGUGUGAGGAAUUUUUCAAGCACUACCGACAAAAGAAAUAGAGAUCACUUCGUCGUUACUUUGCACAACAAUGUCUUAAUCAUUCUAAAAAAACACUCUUCAUAUCUUUAAAUUUAGGCAUUUUCAUGGAAAAGUGAUGUUUGUCUUUAGAAAGUGUACUAAAUUGUCGUUAAGUAGUAAAAUUUAUAAGUUAGUAUCGAUGUAGAUUGUGAAAUCUCAAUUUAACUACUACGAUAAUAGUUUGGAUAUAUACAAUUGGGGGGUGUUUCACUUGGCAAUGGUUGGAUUAACUGUUCUUUAAAGAAAAAGGUAAGACACUGAUUAGGUCAUGAUAGAUCUGCUUCUCUUAAUUACAUAGAAACUUGCCGCCUUGGUUGCAAUUGUUCGAAUAGUUUAGUUUCACGACAUUUGAUCAAAAUAGUUAAGUUAAUUUUUAGUUCACUAACCUUUUUCUCUUGUUACGACCCCCUAAUGUCUUAUGUGAAACUAUAUCAAUUGAAGGCUUGAUUAUAUGCCAAAUUAUUAUCACAAAGCAGUUAGCUCAAGCCCCGAAGCUAAGGUUAGUGGUCAUCGAGACCAAAAUUAGUUUAUGAACAUUCAUAAUCGUAUAAAAAAGCAUUAAGAACAAUUAUAGCUGAAUAAAACCAAGCAAUCAUUUGUAAUCAAAAAACUUUUAUGGUUCGGAUUUUGGGAUAAGGGAGAGAGAGAAAGUGAAAAGUUUAAAUGUAAAACUGUAAAAUGCGGGGAAGGAUGAUUUUUCUUAUAUAUAUCAAAACGAUUCAGAUUAUAUAAUCUGAACCAGUUUUCGUAUUAUUUUAAAUUUCAAAAUCUGAAGGGUAGUUUUAGAAUUUUUAUAUGGUGCGUGGGUAUCUCAUAUUGUAGGAAAAGUAAUAGUCCUAAAAUAUUAUUGGUAGAAAAAUGUAUUGGGCCAUGGGAAAAAAGUUGGACUUUAGUGAAAAGAGUAAUAGAUUGUAAUCAAUUUAAAAAGUAUAUUUAUUUAUUAAUUAAUUAUUCGGUUCAACCGGUUUAAUUAGUUGAACCAUAAACCGGAGUCUUACUGGUUUAAUCUUCGGUUUGGUUUUAAAAACAUUAAUAUAUAUAAUAAUAAUAAUAAUAAUAAUAAUAAUUGUACCAAAAAAAAUAAAUAAUAAUAAUAAUAAUAAAAGUAGUUUGACGACCCAAGAUGACCAAAGACUGACAACACCACCAAAAAGAAUCAAACAAAAAAAACACCAACAUAAAAAAUAAAAAUAAAAACAUCCCAAUGACCCAAACCAAAAGCAGAAUGGACCAGGUCAACUACACCAAAGAGAAAGAAACAUAGGCACCCAGACAAGCCCCCCAAAGCACCCAUACAAGCCCCCCACAUAGCAACUACCGGCUCAAGUAGAGAAUUGCUUCCACCACUCACUCAUAGUGAGGGCAAGGCGAACCAAGGUGGGACUUAUAAAAAAAACCAAUAACACAAAGAGAACUGGGUCUUCAGAACCAAUUCCUCCACAUCUAGAAUCUUACCGACAAACACAAAAUCAUUAAUGUAACAUGUGUCACAUUGCGUGAAUGUUGUAAAUUUUAAGUACUAAUUUUGCUUUCUAUUCAUAAAAAUUGUGACCUUUAACCGAAAAAUUGUGAUAUAUUAAAAAUAUGUAUUAAGAACAGGGCUGACCCAAGCUAUAGGCAAAUUAGGCAUUUGCUUAAGGCCUUGAUUUUUUUUAUUUUUUUUUUACCUAUUAUGCAUGGUACCAAUUUUUUUUAGCGAAUCUCAUAUUUAUUUAUGGUGAUAAAAAAUUUAAGAGAAAUAAUACAAGUUGUCGAAUGAUAUAGCGAUUGAUUUGCUUAAUUUUAUAGAAAGACUUGGUUUUUUUCCAGAUGUGUAUAUUGGUUAUAGAAUAUAAUGUUAACAAUUCAUAUAAUUGUUGUGUCUGCAAAUUUGAAUUUGUUUUACUGUCGAUUCAAAAAGAAUUGUUAAACUAAACCGAUUACAAUAAUUUUGCAUCCAAAAAAAAUCGAAAUCACUUUGAAUAAAAAUAUUAUUUUUGUAAAAAAAAUAUAUAAUUAAUAAUUUCUUUUUUGUACAAACCAUGCUCCAUUUUAGAUUUCGCGUUGAGCAUCAAUAUGUGUUGGAACGGUCCUGAUUAAAAAAGUUUUAUGCUAUGUAUUUUUUUACCAGUGAAUUAUAGAAAUCUCAUCCAUAAAUUUAAAAAGAGAGGUAAUAAGACAAGAUAACACAUUCAUCAUUUUUUGGAAAAGCUUAUCAUCAUUACAAAUACAUAGUCUGAUGCAAAUUUAUACAUGAUUUCUCCCGAAGAAAUAUCUAUCUAUACUAUAUAGUGGCAAGAUAGAUAAAUACACCAUUAUAUCAACACACAACAUUAUUUUUAUUCAUGAAAUAUAUUACUGAGAAAGAGUGCAUGGUGCAUGAAGAUAGAUAUCAUUAUGAUCAGUUUUGAGUUUUGUCCUCAGUUUGCUCGGCACCGUGACCACCGUGACCACCUCCACCGUGUCCUCCGUGUCCACCUCCACCGUGGUUGUAACCACCUCCACCGUGGUGGUAACUACCUCCUCCAUGGUUGUAACUACCUCCACCAUGGUUGUAACUUCCACCAUGGUUGUAACUACCACCACCAUAUUUGGCAUCAUUUACUUCAUUAGUCUUUUCCUCAGUUUGCACGGCAACAGAUUCAGCAGCACCGUGACCACCAUGACCUCCUCCACCAUUGUAACCACCAUGACCUCCUCCACCAUUGUAACCACCGUGACCUCCGUGGCCUCCACCACCAUUGUAACCACCUCCACCAUGGUUGUAACCACCUCCACCGUUGUGGUAACCACCACCACCGUUGUGGUAACCACCACCGUGGUUAUAACCUCCACCAUUGUAACCACCACCGUGGUUAUAACCACCAUGGUUGUAGCCUCCAUAUUUGGCAUCGUUUACUUCAUUAGUCUUUUCAACAACUUCUGCAAACACAAUAUAUGAAUCAUUACUUUAUUUAUAAUUAACUAGAAAAGAAUUUAAAAAAUAUAGAAAAUGCUUGUGAAAGUAUUUAUAAAGAAAAAUAAUAUAUAGCUCACCCUUUUUGGCAUCAGUGGAAGUUUCAGUUAAUUCCCUAGCAGACAUCACUGAGGAAAUAAGAGCCAUAGCCAAGAGGCCUAGCAUGAGGAUUGCCUUUUUUGAAUCCAUUGUUCAAACUUUGUUCAAAUGUGAUAUUUAGUAGUGAACUAUGAUAAAACUAAGUAAGAAGUGUGCUCUAUAUAUAAUGGAGGAGUGAAGUAGGGGACCUUUACUUGGUAGUUGAGAUGGUAGCUAGUGUGUAUUAAUUCAUUACUUUUUAGAUUCACAAUGUAUCUAGUUUAUAUGAUAGGCUAUAUACAUCUUUUAUACAAUUAAUCAAAAAAAUGAAAUUUUAUUUAUAAUAGUGAUCGAAUAGUGUAUAUAUCUAUAAAUUUUAAACUAAAAUAGUUGUUUGAUGAUUUCGAUACCAUUUAUUUUGACUACUUCCUUCGAUCCAAAAUAAAUGAUCUUGUCGAUUGUUUUAAGCAUAUCAAUGCACAUCUUUGAUUUUUAAUACUCUCUUCAUCCUAGAUUAACUGAGUCAUUUGCUCAUUCACACAUAUUAAGAAAAAUGUAUAAAUGAAGGAGAUAAAAAAAUGAUUAUAAGUGUUUUUGUUAUGUAUUUGUGCAUUCUCCACUAUCAUAAAUGCAAAGUAUAAUAUAUUGAAUUGAAAGUGAUGAAAGUAGUAUUAAUUAGAAGAAAAAAUAAUUAAUAUUGUAUUGAAAAAUGAAAUGAAUCAAUUAUUUUAAGACAAUAUUUUUUUACAAAAAGUUCAGUCAUUAUGAGACGGAGGAAGUAUUAUUUAUUUAUGUAUUAACAAAAAAACAUAAAUAAAAAUUGAUAUUUUAAAAAUAUUCAUUGAGACAAAUAAAAAAAUAUCUUAUAUAUUAUCAUUUGUCUUUAUAUAAUAGUAAAAAAAAAAAAAAAAACUAAGUGAAUAAUAGACAUAGUCAAAUAAUUUCAUAAUUGAGAGAGUUGUAAAGAUCGAAGGCUAUGAAAAUGGUGAUGAGUUAGGUCUACUUGCUAUUGGCUGAAAGUGACGUUUUGAAAGCAUGCUAUUGGUUCGUACUAACUAUCUCAUCCCAUGGAGAUACAUACAUUCAAACUUAUCCAAACAAAUUCAAAAUAUGUUUUCUAUAACUAAACAAAAUUAGCAAAAGAGUAUUACAGAGGUACACUCGAAACUUUUUAAAGAACAGUGUUAUUGAAUACCACUCCUUUCAAUUAGAUACAUAUCACAUUUUAUUGAUGAUAUAAAUGUUUAUUAUAAAUAAGAUUAGAUGAAGUAGCCGUUAACAUCUUAUAAUUAUAUUUGCUUGAAAUGAUUACACAAAUUAAGAAACAAACUAUGUUUCUCAACUAUAGGUUCUUUAAUUACUCUAAAUAGUAAGAAAAACAUAAGUUUUUCUGAGGGAGUAGGAAAAACAUAAGUUAAAAGCUUAAUACAACUCAAAUUCCUAGAAUCCCUCGGCUAUGAGUGGAAAGCUUUCGUUUGGUGGAUUUGGAUCCUCUUUAUUGAAAAUUUUCUUCAAUUUUCUCCAUUUUCAAUCUUCACCAUUAAAAUACAACUACUAUUUGUUAGUAUAAUUUAAUUAUCACUUUCUCUCUCAUGAUUGAUGGUUGAGAUUUUACAUGAAAAAAUUUGAGAGAAUUUUCAAUGGAGAGAAUCCUAAUCCUCGUUUGGUUUGGUUUUUUUGGCUCAUAUAUUCAAACCAAGUAAGAAUAAUUCAUUUGUUUUGACUUGGAUUUUACAAAUUUUUUAUUAAAUCCAAAUGAAAGUUAAGUGAUUAAAAAUGGGCCAGCUUGCCUCAAAUAAUCACUCAAGUUGAUAUUUUAAAAUUUAAUAUUUUUUAUAAAUUUUAAAAAAUUAAGUUUUCUUUAAGAAUAUUAUAGAUUUUUUAACAUUAUUUUUUUUAUCAGAGGGAAAUAAAAGACACAAAAGAAAAAAAAAACUAAACAACUCAUUGUCUAAACACCCCAAAGACAUCAGCAAGCAAGUCCAGAUCCAACUCUUUAAGAGGGGAAUUGUAACACCCCGUUUUCCCAAUAUAAAAAUUUCAUAAAUUAAUCAGAGUAAAACACCUUAAACGGAAUAUUACACUUCUUUUCUUAAAAACAUAAAUGGAAUAAUUAUCCUUCAAAUUUCAACAACGUAUUGUCAUACCCCAAUUUUUGACCUAAGGCCCCACUGACACAUGUCACUUGACUCUGAUCGAUCUCUGAUUUUUCAGUGAAAAAAUUCGGCAGGGAGGUAUUUUAAAAUACCUUAUUUUUGAUUCCGAGUCGGACCCUCUUUUCUCUUUUUAUUUUCUUUCUAUCUUUUAUUAAUUUUAAUUUUAAGAUUAGUUACUUUUUUAUAUUUAAUAAUUUUUAUUUUCCAUCUUUUAAUUUUAUUUUUCUUUACAUAAUUUAGUUUAAUUUGUUUUUAUUUUAUUUCGUAUUAGAUUUAUUUUAUUUUUAUUUUUCUUUUUAAUUAAUUAGUGUCCAAAAAAAAAAAACAAAGUGUCAAUAGGUCCAAAAUAAAAUGUACAAGGUCUAAAAAAAUUCAAGUCAAGUGUCAACUUUAACAUUUCUUUUUCAAAAUUCACCAUAAUUGUCCAUCAUUUUCAUUAAACCAAUUUUCCAUUUUUCAUCAACCUCCUCACCUAUAAAUAGAGCCCUCAUUCCACACAAUUUCACACACCAAAAGUUCUCUUGAGUUGUCAAAGAACUUUUCUCUCUUCUCCCUCUUUAGCUUGUGUUGACGAGCUAUUCUUUUCUUCUCCCUCUUUUUUCUGUCCCUUCGGAAUAAGUCCCUUCGGUAAUUUUUGUCCCUUCGGUUGUCAAUUUCUUUUAUUUUCUUGAAUUUUAUUUCUUUUUAGUAUUUUUGCAUUUUUUUUUAUUUCUAUUUAGCAUUUUAAUUAUUUUUAUUUAUUUUCCAGCAAUUAGAAUGUAUUUAGGUCCAAUGUAAAUAUAAAUGAGAAAAGUGUGUGGGUGUGUGUGUCCUUUUAUUUCUUUACCGCCUUAUAUAUAUCCAAAAUUGCAAAAAAAAAAAUAGAUCAGGGAUUUUGUGGUGAUCCAACGUCACUACAAAAAUCCACGCGCUUUUAUUUUUAUUGCUCCGUUAGUUUAAUUUUUAUUUAAUAUUCCAAAAAAACAACAAAAAACAUGCAAAUAAUCAAAAUCACAAAAAUAUUUUCAUAAUAAACCUUGAUCCAAAUCAAGUGACCGCAUUUUUAUUUUCUUUUCUCCAUCAAACUUCAAUCAAUUUAACUUUACUUUUAAGUCUCUUUUUUCAAUAUUAAAAAACACAAACAAAUACUCAUUUGCCACUUGGCUUUUCAUUUUAAAACCUUUUUCAAAACUAAUAAAAAACACUCAACAAAUCAAACGUCAAUUUCUACCCCGAACUACGAGGUUUUGAUCCCUCACGGGUACGUAGGCAGAGGACCAUGUCCUUCCAAAUCAAUAAAAAAUGUAGAUAAUUAGGUCUUUAUUUUUAUCAGUUUAAUUCAUUCUUUUCAAAAAUAAUAAGCAAGUUAUAGCACAUUAAUUAAAUAAAAUCAAGAGGUUCUCGUAGAGUACUACGAAUAUUUAGGGUGCUAAUACCUUCCCUAAAUAUAACCAACCCCCGAACCCUAAAUCUCUCAAUAUGGGGUGUUUUGAACUUUUUUCACCUUUUUCUUAAAAAAUAAAAUGUUCAGUCGUGAAAUAAUUAGCGAGUCAAAAGCUAAUCAAAUAGCCUUGAUCUCCGAAAAAUGACGCGACAGAAAUGGCGACUUCACUGAUGAUGCCCUAAGAGGGUUGAGCCUAACUUGGCUUUAUUUAAUUAUUUGUGCUAUAACUUGCUUAAAACAAAAAAUAAAAAUGAUGGAAAUACUUGUAUAUUUGUUCUCUCUUCUUCUUUCUUCUUUCUUCUUUCUUAAACGUGAGUGGUGAGAUAAGUUCUACACCCGGACUUGAGAGAAAUAUAAGAUAGGAGUGGUAGACUCAUAGUGGCAUACCGGGAGUAUACUCGUGUCUAGUCACAUGUGAGAUAACCACACUUAGCGGAGGAGCUUGAAGUGAUAUAUGUCGGCGUGUGUUUUCACGUUUAGACUUUAUUACUCUUAAGUUUCCAAUGAAGCUAAGGACCUUUAGUAACCCUUAACCCAUCCUGGCCUUUUAGGACGUAGUGCGGUGGCUAACCGGAUGUUUUCUCGAAACUAGUCGACACGCGAUACUACACUCAAAUGAGACUUUCCUACGAACGUUGUUGGACCGGGUGUUUUCUCGAUAUCCGAUAAUAUUCGGAAGUAGUCGAGGACUUUGGGAACUUGGUAGAACCCGUGAUACAGGUACAUUUGAAACCAUAGUCCCUACCAAAUGGCGUUGUUAUCCUUAAGCUCCAACAUUAUGGACUUAACCUCACCAUGCAUUCCAUGUUCCUUAGCAUAAUCAUGCAUACAUGCAUUCAUUCAUAAAACUUUUGUUCUUCUCACUAAUAUCGAAGGACUUAGAUAAGUUCUUGUAAACAUCAAUGAUAUGGACCUUGUAAGAAGGAACACCUACAACUUCAAAAACCUUAACUAAGCUUUAGCUUUUGUUAAGAAUUUUUUCCUUGGUUUCGUUCUUACUUUUGAAAUGGGAACCAAUUGCAACAUCUUCACAAUUUUCAAAUAAAACAAUGUUCCUUAUCAAGUUUACAAUUACUUUGACAAGUCCUUCAAAAAAAACAAAUGUGUCUAUUUUUGCAUAAGCAUAGCAUGCAUACAUAAUUUCAAGUCUGAGUCUUACACUGUGUCUUUUCUACUAAAGGUCAAUCCAUCUCAAAGGUGUCCCAACUGUCCUCGUCCAAAGUCAACUCGCACCUACAACACUCGGGCAAACAAAAAAAGAGAACGUAUCAGUUUGAACAAGAAAUCCACGAGCAUUCGUGAAGAGGUAACAACACUAUUGACGUUCCUUCCGCUACUUUUUGUUCAAUUAAUGUUUGUUUGUUGAUUUUCGCUUUUCAAAAAAAAAAAAAAAAAACAUCCUUUCGUCCCGCCUGAGAUGAAAUUGAUCUUGUGUAGGGCUUUUUGCUUUAAGUAUUGGUCAUCUUUAAUAAAAAGGUCGUUUUAAUCCCGACUUUAUUUUAUUUUGUGCUUUUUCUGAAAAAUGGUAAUACAAAAAACCAAAAAGAAUUUCUUUAAUCAUUCGCAUAUAUCUGCAUAAUCAUAGCUUGUACUUACUUGUCAAAAUCAAUAAUCAAAUCAUGCAUUAAUAAACCCGUUGAACAUAAUAACCAUGUACUCUCUCCCAACUUUGAGUUCUCUGUGACCGAAGAUAAGGAAGAGGAGAAUGAAGAGGCUCCCAGCAAGAUCUCUCGCCCACUGAGGCAUCUUAGCCGUCAAAGCUGCAAACAAAAUAUCAAAGAAGAUUGUCCAAAAAAAUUGCUUUCAUUUACAAAGACUGGCACGAGAUGCUACCACUUGCACUUCAUGAGUAUUGUCCGGUAGUACACACUUCAACAGGGGCAACCCCCUCCUUCCCUCAAGUAUAUAACUUAAAGGUCGUGCUUCCUAUGGAGGUCGAAGUCCCAUCAAUAGGAGUUCUGCUGGAGUCCCAACUUGAUCGAACUAAAAUGUGUGACGACCUUGUGCAUCUAUAUCAAAAAGAGGUUUGAAACAAACUUCCAACAAGAAGGUUUGUCCCCGUGAAACUCAAGAAAGAGACUUUGUGCUCAAAAAGAUACUAUCUUUCCAACCAGACUCCAGGAGCAAGUGGACGCCUAACUAUGAAGGCUCAUGUGCAAUGAAUUUUACAACUAUGGAUGGUGACAAACUUGCACUUCCUAUGAAUGUCGGUGUAGUCAAGAAAUACUCUGUCAAAUAUAAAAGCUCGAUAAGUCGCAAACCUGAAAAGGCGGCUUAGGCAAAAAUGAGCGUCUCGGUGGACUGAAAACCCAAAAGGGUGGUCCAGGCAAAAGUUAGAGACAUGAACAAAAAAGAUUAUCCUGAUAGACCGCAAACCCGAAAAAACGAUCUAUGCAAAAGUUAAGGAUCAAAAGACAAAGUAACUGCAUCCGGUCAGGCACAGUCCACUUGGGGCAUCCAGCUAUCAAAAGACCGCCGAUACGAAGCAUCUGCAGAUCAAAGACUCGAAACAGGGGCAUUCAAAGUUGUUAGGGAGAAUAGCUGUUAUUGUUUUCAAUGUACCAUCCCAUACAUUUACCAUUUUCCAAAUCUUUCAAAGAUCCGUGGAGCCAUGCCAUUGGUAGGUCACCACUCAAUUCAUCAAAUUUGAUCCUAUGCCUAUUUGUUUGGAACUCUCAUUUAUUCUAUUUGCAAAAUUUCUUCUACUUUUUAUGGCAAUACUUAAAGCAAAAAUUUUCAAAAAAAAAAAUACAAAAACUUUUUUUUACAUCUUUUGAAAAGUGUGAACAACAAACACACUCUCUUUGAACUCAUGAGUAGAUGAAGCAUACAUCAACAUCCGCCUCGAAGACGGUUACAUUCCGAAAGAGAAACAUGGCUAAGCGUUAUGGAAAGAACCUCUGCCUUGAACAAGAUGUUGUCACAGUCAAAAAAAAUAUAUACAAAAAAAAAAAUACAAAAAAAUCAAAGCUCGCUAAGUUGAAAACCUGAAAAGGUGGCUUAAGCAAUAGAGAGCGUCCCGGUGGACUGAAAACCCGAAAGGGCGGUCCAGGAAAAAAUUAGGGGCACAAAAAAGAAUAUAAUCCCGGUGGACUGAAAAUCUGAAAGGACGGUCCAGGCAAAAGUUAGAGAUUUUUUUUUAAAAAAAUGACUGCUGAAACAUACCAAUGGAGGAACACUCUGUGCCAGUUCACAAAUGGCGACUUCUUCCAGACUUUUUAUCAACGAUGGGCUUUACCCCCAGGAGGCAUCAGUUGCUCCUUGUGUCGGGUCUUACACCGUCAACGGCUCGUUUUGUUCACAAUAAUAUCAUCUCCAAUGAAGUUUGCCGAGUGCUUGUGCUGCGAUAUCAGUUCGCCUCCAAUCUUACAUGUCCUGUCUCGUUUCAUCGAGUCACUUGUCACAUAGAGUUUAUAUAGUCAUGCAAGUUGUACAUUCAUAACAUUUGUACAUUCAUAAAAUUCGUACAUUCAUACAUUGAUGCAUACACCAUAUAUAUAUACAACAUCAUUCACACAUGAUUGCAUUAGUCACCGAGAGUCUUGUUUAGCCGUGUCUCUUUGGUUAAUCCUGACCCAAACAGCAAGUGGCAGUUUCUUCAUAUGAACAGCUUGCAAUUACAAAUUCUUUUCCUCUCAAAAGUGUCAUCCCCAAUAUAACUGACCAAGUUGUCUUCUCUAAAUUUACCUUUGUUAAGCUAUCUUUGUGUGAUAUUUAGGUAAAACUUGUCAAUCGUCUUUAUUAAGUUAUCAUUUCAUCGAUAGUUAGACGAUGUUUUUCUCUCAUUCUUACCUUUGUUAAGCUAUCUCAUCGAUAGUUAGGUAAAAGUUAUCAGUCGUCUUUUUAAAGCUAUCAUUUCAUCGAUAGUUAGACGAUGUUUUUCUCUCAUUCUUACCUUUUUUAAGCUAUCUCAUCGAUAGUUAGGUAAAAGUAUCAUUUGUCUUUGUUAAGCUAUCAUUUCAUCGGUAGUUAGACGAUGGUUUUUCUUUCAUUCUUACCUUUGUUAAGCUAUCUCAUCGAUAGUUAGGUAAAAGUAUCAUUUGUCUUUGUUAAGCUAUCAUUUCAACGGUAGUUAGACGGUGGUUUUUCUCUCAUUCUUACCUUUGUUAAGCUAUCUCGUCGAUAGUUAGGUAAAAGUAUCAUUUGUCUUUGUUAAGCUAUCAUUUCAACGGUAGUUAGACGGUGGUUUUUCUCUCAUUCUUACCUUUGUUAAACUAUCUCAUCGAUAGUUAGGUAAAAGUAUCAUUUGUCUUUGUUAAGCUAUCAUUUCAACGGUAGUUAGACGGUGGUUUUUCUCUCAUUCUUACCUUUGUUAAGCUAUCUCAUCGAUAGUUAGGUAAAAGUAUCAUUUGUCUUUGUUAAGCUAUCAUUUCAACGGUAGUUAGACGAUGGUUUUUCUCUCAUUCUUACCUUUGUUAAGCUAUCUCAUCGAUAGUUAGGUAAAAGUAUCAUUUGUCUUUGUUAAGCUAUCAUUUCAACGAUAGUUAGACGAUGGUUUUUCUCUCAUUCUUACCUUUGUUAAGAUAUCUCAUCGAUAGUUAGGUAAAAGUAUCAUUUGUCUUUGUUAAGCUAUCAUUUCAACGAUAGUUAGACGAUGGUUUUUCUCUCAUUCUUACGUUUGUUAAGCUAUCUCGUCGAUAGUUAGGUAAAAAUAUCAAUCGUCUCUGUUAACCUAUCAAUACGAUAGUAGACAAUAAUUUUCCCCAGUGAAACUUCAUUCCCCUAGCAGAGUCGGACCCCUUUUUUCUUCAACGAAUUCGGGUAUCCCGUUGUUAUUUCUCAUUCGAGUCAAAUCAUCCUGCAUUCAUAAAUUGCAUCACAUGCAUCCAUAGCAUCUUAGGUCAAAUAUUGUGUACUUUGUAUUUAAGUCUCUUCGACUCGUCAAAUCAAAGAUUUCAUCUUCAAAUCUCCGGACGAAGAAACUUAAAUAGGGGCAUCUGUCAUACCCCAAUUUUUGACCUAAGGCCUCACGGACACAUGUCACUUGACUCUGAUCGAUCUCUGAUUUUUCAGUGAAAAAAUUCGGCAGGGAGGUAUUUUAAAAUACCUCAUUUUUGAUUCCGAGUCGGACCCUCUUUUCUCUUUUUAUUUUCUUUCCAUCUUUUAUUAAUUUUAAUUUUAAGAUUAGUUACUUUUUUUAUAUUUAAUAAUUUUUAUUUUUCAUCUUUUAAUUUUAUUUUUCUUUACAUAAUUUAGUUUAAUUUGUUUUUAUUUUAUUUCGUAUUAGAUUUAUUUUUAUUUUAUUUUUAUUUUUCUUUUUAAUUAAUUAGUGUCCAAAAAAAAAAACAAAGUGUCAAUAGGUCCAAAAUAAAAUGUACAAGGUCUAAAAAAAUUCAAGUCAAGUGUCAACUUUAACAUUCCUUUUUCAAAAUUCACCAUAAUUGUCCAUCAUUUCCAUUAAAUCAAUUUUCCAUUUUUCAUCAACCUCCUCACCUAUAAAUAGAGCCCUCAUUCCACACAAUUUCACACACCAAAAGUUCUCUUGAGUUGUCAAAGAACUUUUCUCUCUUCUCCCUCUUUAGCUUGUGUUGACGAGCUAUUCUUUUCUUCUCCCUCUUUUUUCUGUCCCUUCGGAAUAAGUCCCUUCGGUAAUUUUUGUCCAUUCGGUUGUCAAUUUCUUUUAUUUUCUUGAAUUUUAUUUCUUUUUAGUAUUUUUGCAUUUUUUUUUAUUUCUAUUUAGCAUUUUAAUUAUUUUUAUUUAUUUUCCAGCAAUUAGAAUGUAUUUAGGUCCAAUGUAAAUAUAAAUGAGAAAAGUGUGUGGGUGUGUGUGUCCUUUUAUUUCUUUACCGCCUUAUAUAUAUCCAAAAAUGCAAAAAAAAAAAAAUUAGAUUAGGGAUUUUGUGGUGAUCCAACGUCACUACAAAAAUCCACGCGCAUUUAUUUUUAUUGCUCCGUUAGUUUAAUUUUUAUUUAAUAUUCCAAAAAAACAACAAGAAAACAUGCAAAUAAUCAAAAUCACAAAAAUAUUUUCAUAAUAAACCUUGAUCCAAAUCAAGUGACCGCAUUUUUAUUUUCUUUUCUCCAUCAAACUUCAAUCAAUUUAACUUUACUUUUAAGUCUCUUUUUUCAAUAUUAAAAAACACAAACAAAUACUCAUUUGCCACUUGGCUUUUCAUUUUAAAACCUUUUUCAAAACUAAUAAAAAACACUCAACAAAUCAAACGUCAAUUUCUACCCCGAACUACGAGGUUUUGAUCCCUCACGGGUACGUAGGCAGAGGACCAUGUCCUUCCAAAUCAAUAAAAAAUGUAGAUAAUUAGGUCUUUAUUUUUAUCAGUUUAAUUCAUUCUUUUCAAAAAUAAUAAGCAAGUUAUAGCAUAUUAAUUAAAUAAAAUCAAGAGGUUCUCGUAGAGUACUACGAAUAUUUAGGGUGCUAAUACCUUCCCUAAAUAUAACCAACCCCUGUCAUACCCCAAUUUUGGACCGUUUAAAAACUCUUGUCCGUAUUUUAAAUUUGUUCACAUUCCCAUUUAUUCGUUGUUUUUUACCAUUUAAAGUUCGUAUUUCUUGUCUUUAGUCAUUCAAAAAAGUUUUUUUACGUUAAAUCAACGUUCGCGUUUCACAACGUUUAAAACCGUCUCACUUUCAUUUUUACGUCGCAUAGUCUUUUUUUUAAUCGUAACGAUCACGUCAAAAAAAGAGAAGGCCUAAUCGCUUUUUUUAAAAGGCGUUUUUUCUUAUUAAUCAUUUCAAUCGAAAUUUCGGCAGGGAGGAUACUUUGAAAUACCUCAUGUCAGAUUCCGAAGGGACUUUUUAUUUUUAUUUUUUUGUCUUUUUUAGUUUGUUUAUUAUUAUUUUAUUUUAUUAUUAUUAUUUUUUUUAUAAAAAAAAACAAAACAAAGAAAAGAAGAAGACAUACGUCUUCCCUUUCUUCUUUUUCUUUUUCUUUUCUUUUUCUUUUUAUUCAUUCUUUUUAUUUUUAUUUAUUUAUUUGUUAAGCCUUUGUCCCCAAGUCUCAGCUGCAGGGGCAUUUUGGUCAUUUGUUUGUACCAGAGCCAACCCUAAUUUGUCACUAUAAAAGCCUGUCAAUCAUUGGGAAAUGGGCCAGAGAAAAAAUUACUGUUCAUGAGUCAGAGAAAAACACUAUUCACGUCAGAAAAAGUCAGUCAACAGCAAUCAUACUCACAAACAAUCUCCAAACUUCUCUCUCCAAAAUUUUGGAUCAAAAACCCAAAAUUUCAUGAACUCACAUGAACCACAUCAAGAACACAUGAACCUCAAUCAUUUUCAGAAACACACAAUAACAACAUAAACACCUCAAACCAUUCAUACAACCACAAAUCAUCAUCAUUCCAAACAAAACAAAUCCGAACCAAAACAGAGCCAAACGAACCGGAGUAGAGGAGAGCCAACCGAACCGGAAAAGAACCGGAGCCGAACCGGAAACAAGGAAGAACACGCGAACCGGAAGAAGGAAGAAAAGGAGAGAACCGGACUCAAACUAGGAGGAAAGGAAACCGGAAAAAGAGGUAAAAAUUUCACGUUUUUCAUUUGUAGAUCUAGGAUUUUUGGUGUAUGUUUUCGAAAUUUUGAGCUUGGAUUUGUGUAGAGGAAGGGAAGAGGAGUAUUUUGAUGUAAAAAAAAAUUUCAAAAAAAGCAAAAAAAACUCCGGCGCGGCGGCGCUCCGGCCGACCGCCGCGCCGGAGCAGCUCCGGCCGCCCCUCUUCUUCUUCUCCGGCCGCGUGUGUUUUUGUGGGAGGGGAGAGCUUCUCUCUCUAAGUUGUAACUUAGAGAGAGAAAGUUUUUGUGUUAUAUUUGUUUUUUUGGUAAAACCCCUUUAUAUAGCCUCAUUACUUUAUUUUAAUUCCAUGCGUAUCGUUCCACUGUAUUAUCGUGUAUGAUCACAGCUAGACCGUCAGAUUGUAGAUCUAACGGUCGAUGAUGCAGCUUGUUUUUGGUUAAGUGUUUGUUCUUUUGGGUGGAAUAUUGUGUGCCUGCUGUUGAACCGUCAGAUCGUUGAUCUGACGGUCACUGUGCUUCCAGUAUAUCCUUCCUUUCUUGCUGUUUAUUUUUAAACCGUUGGAUCUUAGAUCCAAUGGCUAUGAUGAAUCCAGGGGUUUGAACUUGGACCAUUGAUUUAAUCCAAUGGUUCAGAAUUAAUCCUGCUGAGCCAAUUUGUUUAUUAUUUUCAUUUGUUAUUGUUUCUAUUUUUUAAAUGCUGUUUUUUUUUAUUUCUUUUUGACAUUUUAUGUUUAGAAAAAAAUUCCAAAAAAAUGUUUUUUUCUCACUAUUUUAAUUUUCUAUCAUUGUUAAAAAUCCAUCCUAUUUUUUUCUUUUAAUUUGUUUUUUUUUACUUAUUAUUUAUUAUUUCUUAUAUGAUGAUCUUAAAUGUUUUUUUUUAUUAUUUUUAUUUCUUGCUUAUUAUUUCUUAUGUCUCAUUCAUCAUAAUAUUUCUUGUGAUCACUAACCAUUUAAUUUUUGUCUUAGAUCAUAGCAUGCAUAUUAAAUUUUCUCAUCAUUUUAUCUUGUCAUUGGAUUAGUAUGUAUAAAUAGGGAAUUGAUGUAAUUUUAUUUCUUGCAUUUUAUUUUGGCAUAAAGGCCUUAGGGUUGUAUUUAGGAAUUGAUGUAAUAAUGUAGGUAACACAAGCACCGACACAUACACCGACACUACCACAUUUUAUUUACCGCUUUCCGUUAUUUUUUUUUUACGACGUUACGUUAGUUCUCACUGUUAGUUUAGAAAAAAUCAUUUUCACAAAAAAAUCAAAUAUGUCAAAUUCAAAAAUAUUUUUUCUUAGCAACAUUUUCCCUUUAUUUUCUUAAUCAAAUUUUUAAUCAAUUUUAAUUCAACUUCAAUCAUUUUCAAAAAUUUAAAAUCAAUCAACCUCACUCAUUUCUUUUAUCUCAUGCCUUGAGGCCUCUUUCUCUUCUUAAAACCAUUUUCAAAAAUCUUAAAAUCAACCUAACCCACCAAAGAAAUUUUUGAGUGGAACUACGUCGGUUUUGAUCCCUUUCUCAAAAGGGUACGUAGGCAGAGGACUCGUCCUUCCAAAUCAAAUAAAAAUAAACCAAAAACAUACUUCUUCUCCCUCCAUUCUUUCACUUAGACAUUAGGCAAUAAUUUUUCAAAUGAACAAGUAUUUUAGCACAAGAUAAUCUAGGUAAGAGGUUCCUACGGAAUACCGUAGAUGCUUAGGAUGCUAGCACCUUCCCUUCGCAUAACCAACCCCCGAAUCCAAAGUCUCGAAAAGGGUUUUUACUCAUUUUUUCCCUUCCCAAGAAUAAAAAUCGAGAGUUCAAAGAUUGACGAUUCAAAUCAAUUAAUGGUUUGAUAUCCAAAAAUCGCGAGCACAGAAAUGGCGACUUACCCCCGAACCCUAAAUCUCUCAAUAUGGGGUGUUUUGAACUUUUUUCACCUUUUUCUUAAAAAAUAAAAUGUUCAGUCGUGAAAUAAUUAGCGAGUCAAAAAUCUAAUCAAAUAGCCUUGAUCUCUGAAAAAUGACGCGACACGUAUUAAUCAAAACUUUGUAGCAGAAUUAAUUCAACGACAAUAAAAGCUCUAACAACAUGUUUCAAAAUUGAUACAUAAAGGAAUGAUAAACAUCGUAACAAUUUCCCAUCCUGUUACGUAUCAGAGCCCUAAGACACUUGAGCCACCUCUCCUACUAAGCUUCAUUACCUGCAAGUUACCCAUACGAAGGGCAACAUUUUCAAGCAGAAGGGGUGAGAUCUCUCAAACAAUAAUAAUAAGCAUAUAAUUCAUCAAUUACAGUUAACAACAUAGACAUCAUCAAAUCCACCCAAUAAUAAUUUUUCUUAACAUCCCCUUAGUACUCAUGAAUAGAAGACAACUUAGCCACUAUGCAUCAACGUUAUCAAUUCAUAACAAUAAUUAUUCAUCAACCAUCUCAUUAGCAAAACAUGAAUAAGGAACAACUUAUCAACUUAACAUAAUCAUCAUUAAGUACAUUUAACAACUCAUAGAUAACAUCAUGUAACAUCAAAACAGCCUCUCAUUCAACACUAUAAACAAUCAUCAUAACAUCGUCAUAAUCAUCAACAUAAACAACGUAAGAGUACACCACCUCUUAUAAACAACAACGUAAGAGUACACCAUCUCUUAUAAAACGACCAAGUAAGAGUACACCACCUCUUAUAAAAAAAACGACAAAGUAAGAGUACACCACCUCUUAUAAAACGACCAAGUAAGAGUACACCACCUCUUAUAAAAAAAAACGACAAAGUAAGAGUACACCACUUCUUAUAAAACGACCAAGUAAGAGUAGUACACCACCUCUUAUAAACAACAAUGUAAGAGUACACCACCUCUUAUAAACAACAAUGUAAGAGUACACCACCUCUUAUAAAACACCUGACAUAAACAAUCACCAACGAUGGCUACAACUACGACAUCAACAACAACACCAACGAUGAUGACAACAUCGACAAUUUGCAUAACAUACUUAUGACUUAUUCGGCAACGUACAACCCAACAACGCUUACAACUUAUACCAACAUUAGAUCUUCAUGAUAUUAAUAUGUCACAACCGCAAGACAACACCAUUAAAUAAUAUGCAGCAAGUCAACAUUAAUAAUAAUCAUCAUAUAUAACAAUUACAAUUUCAUAUCAACGUCUUUCACAAUAUAUAAAUAUUUUCACAUUUAAUCAUCAAAGUAAAUCAUCAUUAUUAAUCAUCUUGUUCAUCCUCUCUGAACCUCAUUAUAAUCAUUAACAACUUCAUUCCAACCCCAAGGGUCGACUCACAACAUAAGUUACAUACUCUUAAACACCCUAAUUGAACUCAUAGUACUUCUAGUUUUGAGCUUUGGAAUUAUCCCAUAAGUUUUGGAUUAACUUAGAAACGGUUAUACUGAAUUUUCAUAAGAUUUCACUAAGACCUCCUUGGAGUAUUUUCAUCAUAUCUCAAAAACAAAAAAUCAUUUUCAAGUGAAACCAAAGCCAUUGGAAAGCUAACAAAAUUAUCUACAACUUUCAUGUUUACACCAAAGGUCAACUCAAAACAGAAACGUGUGAAAAAGACGGAAGAACAUGAAACAGGGUAAGCAUCAGACAUACUGAAAUUUACAGAUUUUCUGUCAAAAUCGCCUCACGAUCACUGGGAUCGCCUCACGAUUUUGACAGCAUCAUACAUGCUGAUAUUACAGAUUUUUCUGCGAUUUUCUACCAUGGGAGCCUCCUUGACUCCGUUUUUUAACCCUAAACUCUCCAAAAUCAUCCAUAAUCAUCACCAUAUGAUUACCCUAUCAUUGAAACGUUAAUCCAUCACUAACCUACCCGAUUAACCACUCUUUUCACCGUUCCAUUAUAUGGUUUCUACACUUUUCAUUCAAAAGUCAAUAAUCAAAACCUAAUCCCAAUUCUCAAAUUUAACCACAACCCCUUGCUAAAUCAAAAUCAGAAUUAUACAAACUAUAAUCAUUGAGAGUUAGCCUCACCCUUACCUUAGAUUGAUGAACAAAGCUCUACACGAUCUUCUCUUGGAUACUAUUGGCUCCCUCUUGGUUUUUCUCCCAAAAAGCUGCUUCCACGUGAAAAUGUUUUCUGACUUCCCUCUUUUCUUUUCUAAACCUAAUUCAACUUCUUCUAUUUCCGCUUAAUCCCACACAACUCUCCUUAUUUCUAAAUCAGCCCCUUGAACUCCAAAUAUUCUAAAUUCCCACUUAUUCUAUUAAAUAGUAAAAUAACACAUUUAAUAAAAUAUAACACACCACAUAAUCAACAAUAAUUAUUUAAAAUCAUAUAUAAAAAGACUUUAAAUCAACCAAUAAUAAUUAAAUAAAAUUGGGUCGUUACAGGAAUCCCAUAACUUCGUGACGUCGACAUUCUUUACACUUAAUUAUCAAUCAAUCAACACAUUAGAUGUCUUCUCUUAAAGUAUGAUUAAAGAAAACCAACCAAAAAAGACAAAUGGACUUCCUAAUGAGGGAAUAUAAGUUGCAUGAGGAUGGAAAUCCUUAUGAUGGAAAUCAGUGAUCAAGUCUAACGCUGACUUAGUUAUUCUUAUACUAUUAAAAUAAGUAUACAGUUACAAUGAAAAAAGAUAAAAUAUAAUGACUAAAAAAUACAUGAAAUUAACAUAUUUGUAAUAUAAAACUAUUAAUAGGGCAUGAUAUUUAACAAUAAGGAAAAAUCAAUCCUUCAACUUCCGGAUAAACUUAAGUUGUUUUCUUUUUGGUGGUUGAAGGCAAAUUUAUAUGCUAAUUUUAUUUUAGGUUAUCAUAGUUGAUGGAUUUUCUCUUUUGUUUGCUUGGGUAAUGGUUAAUUUCUUUAUGUUUUGUUUUGAUAGGAAAAUGUUUGUUUUGGUAGUAAUAUGUUUUAUUUUUCCUUGUUUAAAAAGAGAUAUAGUAUGAAAUAUAAAUAAUUAGUGAUAAAAUAUAAUAUUUUGGUUCGAUUUACAGGUGAUUUGUUUUAAAUGAUCUGAAAACGAUAUUCAAACAAUAGUGAUCAAAUUUGAUUAGUGUGUGUGAUUCAGGUUAUACAUACAUGAGCAUAAAAAACACCAAUUUAGUUUAUUUGCAUUGAAUGUUUGCAUUCUACGAGUUAUUGGUUUGAUUCUUACACCUCAUCAUAAACAAUAUAGCAUAUAAUAUUUAUUUAUUUUCCUCUUUGUAUUAAAGGGUAUACAAAACAUUUUUCAAAUGAGAUAACAAGAUUUUAGUUUUCAAAUGAAUGGUUGAUUCCAUAUUUAGAGAAGGGGCUAGUUGUUGCCCAUGUAAUUAAUAACACAAGGAAGUGAGAAGAAUUCACAGAACACUUGGAUAGGUCAUUUUCUUUCCAAAAAAAAAAAAAACUAGGAUAGGACGUUUGGUGCCCCCAUUCAAUUAAUUCAUUUCACACCGACACUUUGACAAUAUAUAUGCAUUCGAUUUUUUAUUUUAUUUUUUAUGAUUAAAAUCGACAUUGUUUUUUGGUGAGAUUUGCAAGUGGCACGCCACGUAAUUGUACAAGUUCCACAUGCAUUUGACUUUAGCAAACAUUAUCAAUCUUAGAUUAGAUCACGUGUUUGUUCUCAUUAGUUUGAUACUCCAUAAUUUAGAAUAUGUUUUUGUGGUGCAGUAUCUGUUUAGGAGGAAAUGAAUUAAGUGAAAAUCUCUCUUUAAGAUGUAAUAAUAAUUGAGAAAAACUGAAAUUGUUUCAAUUGAGAUUCAUUUCUCCAUUAUGAUGGUUGUAACUUGUAAUUUUUUUUUUUUUUUUGGGUAAAAUAUGUUUUUAAUUCAUAUAAAAAUACGAGAUUUCAAUUUUAGUCCUGCAUAAUUUUAAUAGUAAUUUUAAUCCGUACCGAAAUGAUUGUUAAGAUAAUUGGUCCUUCAUGUCAAAUGGGUUGCUAAUUGAGCUAAACGAAUCAUGACUAGAUACGCCAUGCAAUCAUUUUGAUUGACGUAAGUUGCUGACUCUUGGUUGUAAGAAAAACAUCAAAGGAGGUUGAAUUGUGUAGUAUUUCUUAGAAAUUUUAAGUUAAAAACCAUUCAUAGAAUUUUUACCAAAAAAAAAUCAAUCAUAGAAUGCAAAAGAUAAUCAGAGAUAAGAGAAAAGAAUGACACAUAUUUUCCCCGGUUCAUCCCACAAUUUGGGAUUACGUUAUGUCCCCUCACACAACAGAGAUUUUUUUUUCUCUCACUAUAAUCACAUAAGAUUACAAUUACUUGGACACACAAAUCUAAGAUUUCAUGUCUUACCUUGAGGACUUCUAAAUUUAGAAUUUACAAAUAAGAUUGAUAGUUAUUUACACUUUAGACUCAAAGAGCGGUGAAUGUGCCUUUUUUUUUUACAUUUUAUAUAUUCAAAAAAUCAGUUAGUUCGUUCGACUCACAAAUACAUAUCAACUAAACUCUCUUGUAAGGACUUGAAUCGAGUCCUAGAUUGCUCUUCAAGUCCAUUUGUUUGUGUUUUUGUACGAACAAUGGGGAUUUACCGCAAAAUCAGGGAGUGUUACUCAUUUGUGGUUGGUCGUACACUCCUUCUUCUGCACCUUCUUUAAUAUGCAUGGGAGGGGGUGCUUGCGUAAGAUACUUUGAUGCUCAAGUCAGACGAGGUACAAACCAAGAGCAUACAUGCAUUGUAUAUGAGUAUGAGUGUGAUAAAAUUGGAAUGAUAUGAAGUUCAUCGUACCAAGGGCAGGUGCCCCCUAUUUAUAAUGGUUGAUAUGAUGAUAGACUCCUUGUUGGUUGCAAUCUAAUUUCCUUAUCUUCAAGAUGGUUUGUUACGAGGCUAAUUUGGAUAUCAUAGUAACGAACCUCCCAGAAUCUUGUAAUUACGAGUGACACAUGUAUAUCCGAGUGUAACAUAAUCCGAGGUAGAUGUGCUCAUCUAUGCAGUUUAGAUAAGGUACGAAUAUAUAGGAUCGAUCUCGUAGCUAACUAAAUGUUUUUUAUUCUUAGAGGAGCUAAAGCGUGUAUAGGCGCUUAUGUCGGUCUAUCAAGUGGCUCUUUUUUAUCUCGUGGAAGUGUUGAUGUGUAUCAGACAUCAUUCCGAGGUGUUAGUUAUGACAAGGUGGUAUGAGAGAUUAAGUCAUAUUUUAUGCCACAUGUCACAUUUAGGUGGUAAUCUUGAUAUUCUUUGACUUGGUCCAUUUGUUAGAUCUUCCUAUGUUAUUCUUGAAGAGCUAAUUUGCUUGGACUCCUUAACGAAUGACUAGCCUGGCCUAAUUUGCUUGGAUUCCUUAAUGAAUGACUGGCUUGGACCUUUUAGGCCCAUACUGGUACAUUAUCCCCCUAGCCCUUGGUCAUGCAGUGGACAAUUGGUCUAAGAGUAUUGAAGUGAAAAUUUUUGAAUUUUAUCCGAUGUAGAUAUAUUUGAUUUUUUUGAUGAUACGAUUUUAGUUUAAACCCGAUUUAGAACUCGAUUUACAGAUGGUAUACCCCAUGACUUGCAACUUAGAGGUGAGGUGAAAGUCUAAAGGAUUUUUCAUAUGAUACUCAAUGGUUUUCUUUGCCUCAUUUCUUGAGCAUUAUGACGUGUAUUCGAAGCACGACGUGACAAUGAGACAAUUGCUUUUUUAUGGGUGCAAUUUGAUAUGUUAGAUUUGUUAAUGGAAAGUUGUAUCGUUUGAUCGUACUUGAUGAAACAUUUCCAAUCAUUGAUGAACGGUUCCAUCCAAUUUGAAUACUUGCUACUUUCUCCCCCACCACCACCACAACUUGAUUUAAGUCAUGAAGUGCUUUUGCGACUCAUAUUUCCUUAUGUUUCAAAUUUUUCAUUCAUCCCUCCAGCUGAGCUCCGUUCUUGCUUUCUCUUUAUGUUUAAACAAUGUUUGUACAAAAGCGCUUUGAUUGAUGCACUCUUCUUUGAGAAUUGGAAUGAAUUUUUGUCUGAUCCUAAUGGGUGGCACCGUUAGAGUGUUUAAGGAGAGGUUACUGUUUUUUUUUUUUUUUUGCUAAUUAGUUAUCAACAAAAAAAUUCACAUACCCUAGAUUCUUAAAACUCAUUCAACAUAUCAUUUUAUCUAUAUGUGUAUCAUCAUAUCAUUUCAUUAAUCUAUCACAUCACUCUCAAUUGUCUCUUUCACUCUUUUGGGAUGUACGUCAACUAUUAGAGUGUCCAUCAAACAUUAUUGCUUACUUAUUUGUAUAUGGAUACUCCUUUCAUAAUAAUAAUAAUAAUUAAUAAUAAUAAAGACUUUUUUCAUCAUGUGCAAAAUUGCACAUAUUAAAAUAUUUAAAAUAGAAAUUUUGUAUUGAAACUUAUACGUUUAAUAUUAAAUAUAAUUUUUUGAAUAAUAAUAUACGUUGCUCUAAAAAAGAAUGCGAAAGCAUAAAUAAAUAAAAAAACUCAAAUGGAAACAUCAACGGGUCCCAUUAAGCUCCUUAUAAUAAACGGUAGUUUUGAUGGGAUCCGAACAACCAUUAAUGCAUGCAUAUAUAUGUAGGAGUAUAUGGUAAUUGAAUGAACUUAAAAAAUCAAUUUUACUUAUAUUUAAAAAUGAAGGGAGUACCUUCAAACAUUUUAAUGCGCCUACUUAAAUCACAAGCUUGUGUUACCAAACUCGACAGUAUAUGGUAAUUCUUGCCUAUCAAAAAGGUGUGUAUAGUUCAUGCUAAGUUGGUAUCAACGGAAAUCAUUUGAAACUUUAGAGACAUUGUUUUAAAACCCACUCUGAUUCAUCAAUUCAUACUUUUUUAAUUUAAAGUAUCAUAUGUUUAUUUAAAAAAAAAAUCAUGAAAUAAAAAAAAAAAAAAAACAUAAUUCUCGAAUCCCUAAUUCCCAAUUUCUUCUACCUAAUUCCAUGAACAAUAUGAGAGUAUCACAGCACAUAUAUGAGUUUGAUUAAUUUUUCACAAUACUGGGUGUGAGGAAUUUUUCAAGCACUACCGACAAAAGAAAUAGAGAUCACUUCGUCGUUACUUUGCACAACAAUGUCUUAAUCAUUCUAGCAAAACACUCUUCAUCGCUCUCCGAUGCUACACCAACACCAUUGUGAAGGUCAAAAAAAAUUCCAAAACCCAAAUUCUACAAUUAAAAUCAUAAGAGAAUCAUUUUCUACCAAAAUCAUAACUGCUUCCAAUAACUUGAAAUUAAUCUCUAAAGCUUGAGCAUGAUGACACAAAUGGUUCAUCGUCGAGAAUAAGCUUUUAUAAUAUAACGAAACAGUUAGAAAUCUCUCUCUCUCUCUCUCUCUCUCUCUCUCUCUCUCUCAAAUUUCGGCAUGUUCAUGGAAAAGUGAUGUUUGUCAUUAGAAAGUGUACUAAAUUGUCGUUAAGUAGUAAAAUUUAUAAGUUAGUAUCGAUGUAGAUUGUGAAAUCUCAAUUUAACUACUACAAUAAUAGUUUGGAUAUAUACAAUUGGGGGGUGUUUCACUUGGCAAUGGUUGGAUUAACUGUUCUUUAAAGAAAUAGGUAAGACACUGAUUAGGUCAUGAUAGAUCUGCUUCUCUUAAUUACAUAGAAACUCACCCCCUUGAUUGCAAUUGUUCCAAUAGUUUAGUUUCACGACAUUUGAUCAAAAUAGUUAAGUUAAUUUCUAGAUCACUAAUCUUUUUCUCUUGUUACGACCCCCUAAUGUCUUAUAUGAAACUAUAUCAAUUGAAGGCUUGAUUGUAUGCCAAAUUAUUAUCACAAAGCAGUUAGCUCAAGCCCCAAAGCUAAGGUUAAUGGUCAUCGAGACCAAAAUCAGUUUAUAAACAUUCAUAAUCGGAUAAAAAAGCAUUAAAAACAAUUAUAACUGAAAGCCAAAGAGAAAGACACAUAAGCAUCCAGACAAGCCCCCCACACAGCAACUACCGGCUCAAGUAGAGAAUUGCUUCCACCACUCACUCAUAGUGAGAGCAAGGCGAACCAAGGUGGGACUUAUAAAAAAAAAGAACCAAUAACACAAAGAGAACUGGGUCUUCAGAACCAAUUCCUCCACAUCUAAAAUCUUACCGACAAACACAAAAUCAUUAAUGUAACAUGUGUCACAUUGCGUGAAUUUUGUAAAUUUUAAAUACUAAUUUUGCUUUCUACUCAUAAAAAUUGUGAACUUUAACCGAAAAAUUAUGAUAUAUUAAAAAUAUGUAUUAAGAACAGGGCCGACCCAAGCUAUAGGCAAACCAGGCAUUUGCUUAAGGCCUUGAUUUUUUAUUUUUUUUUUACCUAUUAUGCAUGGUACUUUUUUUUUUUUAGCGAAUCUCAUAUUUAUUUAUGGAAAUAAAAAAUUUAAGAGAAAUAAUACAAGUUGUCGAAUGAUAUAGCAAUUGAUUUGCUUAAUUUUAUAGAAAGACUUGGUUUUUUUCCAGAUGUGUAUAUUGGUUAUAGAAUAUAAUGUUAACAAUUCAUAUAAUUGUUGUGUCUGCAAAUUUGAAUUUGUUUUAUUGUUGAUUCAAAAAGAAAUGUUAAACUAAACCGAUUAUAAUAAUUUUGCAUCCAAAAAAAUAGAAAUCACUUUGAAUAAAAAUAUAAUUUUUGUAAAAUAAAUAUAUAAUUAAUAAUUUCUUUUUUGUACAAACUAGUAAUAACUUAAAAUGCUUCAAUUUAGAUUUCGCGUUGAGCAUCAAUAUGUGUUGGAACGGUCCUGAUUAAAAAAGUUUUAUGCUAUGUAUUUUUUUUACCAGUGAAUUAUAGAAAUCUCAUCCAUAAAUUUAAAAAGAGAGGUAAUAAGACAAGAUAACACAUUCAUCAUUUUUUGGAAAAGCUUAUCAUCAUUACAAAUACAUAGUCUGAUGCAAAUUUAUACAUGAUUUCUCCCGAAGAAAUAUCUAUCUAUACUAUAUAGUGGCAAGAUAGAUAAAUACACCAUUAUAUCAACACACAACAUUAUUUUUAUUCAUGAAAUAUAUUACUGAGAAAGAGUGCAUGGUGCAUGAAGAUAGAUAUCAUUAUGAUCAGUUUUGAGUUUUGUCCUCAGUUUGCUCGGCACCGUGACUACCGUGUCCACCUCCACCAUGGUUGUAACCACCUCAACCGUGGUGGUAACUACCUCGUCCAUGGUUGUAACUAGCUCCACCUUUGUUGAAACUACCACCUCCACCACCAUUUCUGGCAUCAUUUACUUCAUUAGUCUUUUCCUCAGUUUGCACGGCAACAGAUUCAGCAGCACCGCGACCACCAUGACCUCCUCCACGAUUGUAACCACCGUGACCUCCGUGGCCUCCACCACCAUUGUAACCACCUCCACC